This 50092-nucleotide long non-coding RNA is filed under the name Theobroma cacao (cacao). RNAcentral describes it as "long non-coding RNA (TCAC_LNC000111)". The stretch from base 16168 to 16240 matches the Rfam family "tRNA". Lineage: Eukaryota; Viridiplantae; Streptophyta; Magnoliopsida; Malvales; Malvaceae. The record is from RNAcentral.
GGUCAAUGGUUGGAGGAUUUACCAAGUGCAUUCGAUAACUGAUGCAAUUGUUUUUGCAAUGGCAUUCUCUCCUUCCUCAAGUGUCACAUUGGAUAUGAGCUCGUCUUAAGGCUUUUAUAGCAGUUUGUUAAGUGGAGAGUGCCAAAGAUUUUGACAUAGCAAUAUAAAAGUCUGGAUCAUAAUUCAAGAAAAAAGAAUCUCUUAAUCUUUGGAGUUUGUUUUGCUGAAUCCUCCUGAUGCUCAAAUUACAUCAUUGUCUUUAUGGAGUGAAGGAUGGGUUUGGAAGCAAGACACAUCCCUUCUAUGAAUGAAAAGGCUAAACAAUGCAGUUUGGUUGGUUGGAACAAAUGUUUACAAGUACAUAAUCUAAAUAUAUGUGUGAAUGUGGUAGAGAAAGCAGCUAAAGUAUACAAGAUGGUGAAUCAUUCUUGUGUAGGGAGGAACUUUUGCUGACAAUCUAAAGAAGUUUCAGAUGAUAUAUGUGCUGAUUUGGAGAUAGGAACAAAAGUAUAUUGUAUUACUGUUACAAUGAAAAUUUGACUCUUGUACCAGAUUUUAACAUUAGUUUUUUUUUUUUUUUUUAGAGUAGAUCUAUAUCUAUGAGUUGGAUGACUUAAGACUAUGCAACUUGGUACUGUUGUUAAGAGUGAUGAGGAUUUAGGUUCUUAUGGGCACCUUUUUUUGCCUUGUUAUGUGAAUUGUUCAAUUGUAUUAAUUAGAUUUAUGCUCAUUCAUACAAAAAUGAUACUUGCUAAAUUUGAGAAUAUUAGGCCCUUGCUGAUGUUGAGGCAUAGGCCAUGACCUACAAAAGCUUUUUGUUAUUGCAACAUGCAGUUAUCUCUUUGUACCUUGGCAUACUGUAGGUAGUUUUAACAACUCUAGGUGGUGCUAUAUGGAGCUUUCAGCCAUAGUUGUAUAUUUUGGGCAUUAGACUCAUGCAACUGCCUCACCUAUCACGGUUUCUGGCAAAUGUAUUUUUUUCUAUUUUUGGGAGGUUCUUUUGGUACAAUAUAACCCUAGUAUUUGCUAAUAUAGUUGGGCCUAUAACAUAAUAUAUGAAUUGUUUUGUGAUGUCUUCUAAAUCUAGCAUCUUCAAUCUGCUGCAGAAAGAGCUUGAAAGAUUCUUAAUUUGUGCUGUGGAUUUUUGAUAUCAUUAGGCAAGGAAUGUUUUUGUUAGACUCUUGGAUGCUUUCCAUGUCAUGAGGAUAACUUGGAAAGUUUUUAAGUUUAUAUAUUUUUUGGGGUGGGGUGCAGUUUGAGUUUUCAUUUUGUAUGUUUCCCCUUUAUUUGGUUGUUGCCAAACCAGCUGCAAAUCUGUAGUCAAUAUAUUAUAUGUAUCAGUAUUGUCCAUUUAUUCAGCUAAUCUUCUAUUCUUUUAUUGCCUUUAUCCUUUGAUUUGUACUCAUACAAGCCCUUAAGCUUUUUGGAAAAUUAAUAGUUGUCGAACCCAUUGCUGGCGGCAUUUUGUACGCAUGGCAUGACCUGAUCAUAUGACUCAUUCCACAUCAGCUAAUAUUUGCCCAUGUCAGCUGUCACGUGGAAAGAAAAUGUCGGUUGGCAUUAAGUUUGAUGGUUGUCAAUAACCAUUAAGGAUAGAAUACUAAAUUUGAUAGUUGAUUAAUAUAUAUUAAGGGUUGUUAGAUAUAUUCAUACAACAACUUGUAUGCACAAAGACAGGGAAAGUUUUACAAAUAAUAUAGUUACGUGGGGAGGGUACCAUGUCAGUUGUCACGUGGAAAGAAAAUGUCAGUUGACAGUAAGUUUGAUGGUUGUUAAUAACCAUGAAGAAUAGAAUAUUAAAUUUGAUAGUUUAUUAAUAUAUAUUAAGGGUUGUUAGAUAUAUUCAUACAACAACUUGUAUGCGCAGAGACGGUGAAAGUUUUACUAAUAAUAUAGUUACAUAGGGAGGGUAUGUCUUUCUGAUGCUUUUGGAUAAAAACUCACCCUUGCCUGACUAUAAGCUUGAUAUCAUUUUAUAUCCAAGUAUUUAAUAUAAGUUGAAGUGACUAUACUUAUGUAUGUUGAGUGUACAAUUUGUCACAUAGAUGACAUGUUGGGCUCUCUGGUCUCAGAUUCAAAUGAACUAAAUCCAUUCUCAUAAGUUAUGGAAAAACUGGUGUUUUGAAUUUCUCUUAUUCCAUCCUUGAACCUUGUAAUAGCGGUCUCUUUAGGCAAAAUAGUCGUUAGAAACCAAACAGCAAAAUAAAACAGGAAUCUAAUUUUAAAACACUAGUAAUGCUGCAUGCCUCGUGCUUGCAAUGAAAUUAGCAUGUUGACAUGUGAUUUGGGAAUGUGUCAUAUUUUUAUUGCCUUCAUGUAGUCUCUCUUCUCAUUUUUGUUUUUGGAAAUUGGACAUCUGUUUAAUGGAAUUGGAUUUUUGCCCUAUGCAAUUUAAAUCAAAUAGCAGAGUGGACAUGAAAAUUCACUGACAUGUGAAUUAGAUCCUACCAUGAAUUAAAUCAAUGAUGGACUUGAGACAGAUGGAGGGUGGUUGUAUUUAUUAAUGUCUUACUUCCCUACUUCCAGAUCAUACUGCAUUGAUAAGAAUACGUGCUACUACUUUUGGUGAAAUGAGUGGCAGCAGAAAACGCUGUUCUAAGUGGGAUUCAAAGGAGGAGCGGCAAUAUUCUCUUGAAAAUGUACGAGACGCUGCUUGGCCUGCGAAAGCAGGUGUGAGUUUUCAUGAUAGAGAAUCAGAACAUGGGUAUUUUUCUCCAGAGGUUGGUAGGAAUGGCAACAAGUGGUCUUUUAUGGAAGCCAGUGACAUGAUGAAAUCUAAGCAUGGACUGCCUUCAAGGGAAUCUUUAACCGGAGGCAGAGGUGCACGAAAGGAUGAUAACAUCAAUGUUGACUGUGUCAAAAAUUGGAAAACUACAUCUCCGUGGGAUGGGGAUGAGACCUACAGCAUGAGAAUGUCUCCUGGUCUUGAUGAUUGGAGGCAACAAAAUCGUCGCCAUUCUCCUAAAAGUGAUUGGAGCAGGUCUCAAAGGUUUGAUUGUCUACUUGUGUAUCCUUGAUUAUUAUUAUCAUCUUUUUGAAGAUGUCCUGGUUGUUAGUAUACUGUUUGUAUAACCUGACUCUAUCGUAUCAAUCCCAUGACCUAUAUAUUAUGUAUUUAUUCUUCAAUGUUGCUAAGAAAUUGAGAAUCACAUACUUAUUGCUUCUUUUUGCAAUUUCAUUUUUGUUGAAAGUGCUUCCCUGUGCUAAAUAUAUUUCAUUUUUUCUCCAAUUAGUUUGUGAUUUUCCCCCCAGGGUGAUUUUACUUGGAUUUUGUGUUGUCACUGAGGUUGCAUCUCAGCUUAAUAUGUUGAACAUGAUGUUUUGGACUCUCUAAUUAAAAUUAUAUUCUAUGCUUUUUGCGUGGAUAAAUGGUUUUGUCUCCUCUGAUCUUUCUGUACUGUCUUUUUUCUUCUUCCUGUUGAACACUGUCUAAUAUGUCUCCCAAUAUUUAGUUUUACCCACAAAAGCAGGAGUAGGAGCUGGAGCAGGAGUCGUAGUAGAAGCAGGAGCCGAAGUCCAGUUCGUGGCAUUAGGCGGCAAUCAGGAUUCCAUGAAAGAACCAGAAGCAGAUCUGGAGUGUCAACUCAAAUAUGUAAAGAAUUUAUGGCUGGGAGAUGCAGGAGAGGCAGUCAGUGUCAGUUUCUUCACCAAGAUAUUCAAAGUCAUGAGGAUGGUUGGGAUAAUAGACAAAAGAAAGCUGGGGGUUCAAAAUAUUUUACUCCGAAUGAUGGUAAAGAGUAUCUGAUAAAGAGUGGAAGGUCUACUGAUUGCUGUAAUGAUUAUCUGAAAGGUAAUUGUCGCAGGGGGGCAUCUUGUAGGUUUGCUCAUGAUGGUGCCUCUGAUGGCUUCAGUAGAGGAUCCAUAAAUGAGGUAAGUAGGGAAAGAGAAAGCAACAAGAGGAACAGAGUUGCAACUCCAGAGCGAGAUGGUGAGCGUGAAGCUCGAAGAAGUGAUGUUCCUUGCAAAUACUAUGCUGCUGGAAAUUGUCGUAAUGGAAAAUAUUGUAGGUUUUCUCAUCAUGGUCAGGCACGUGCAAGUCCUGAAAGGUCACGUGGUGAUAGGGGGGGAUGGGGUCAAAGUUUGGUUAGUGUGGAUAAAUUACGGGAUGGUGCAAAAUUUAGAGAUGCAGAUGCUUCAUAUAAUGUGGAGAAAUCUAGAAAUGGUCCAAAAUGGAGUGAUGCUGAUGCUUCAAAUGAAGCAAAGAAAUCCUGGGCUGGUCCAAAAUGGAGUGAUGCGGAUGCUUCAAAUGAUGUGGACAAAUCUUGGACUGGUUCAAAAUGGGGUGAUACAGGUACCUACUCAGGUGCAGCAAAUAUGAGCAAGGACAUUAAUGGAAAAGUGGGUGCCUCAGAAUCAAGAUUCCCUGAUUGGUCCAUGGACGAGAGAUGGCAGCAUAAUUAUGAUGUAAGUGGAAAGAGCAGUGAGACUAAAGUGCAUUAUGAAACAGUUGAUAUUGACAAGGAUGAAGCAAUUCCAAGGAAGAUAGAAAAUGCUGGUCUUAGUACUGGUGUAUCUGAACCAAGGGGUGCUGAAGAGUCACUUGGUGAUAUGGAGAUGUCUCCUGAGUGGAAUUACAGGAUCCCCUCUUCUGUGAAAAAAGAAACUUCUCAUAGUUCAAAGUCUCAAGCUCCCAUUGACACAUCUUUACCAGCUCAUGAAAAGGAUAUAGCUGAAGAGGCCUCAGGUCGGGUGUGUGAUGGGCUUGCAGCUUCACAGCCAAUCUCAAUUCAGAAAUCUAACUUUCAACAUGACCAUGUGAUGAGGGGGAGCAGUGCUGUUGCAUUGCCAAGUGAUAGCAAUGCUGCUAGCAGAAAUUCUGCUAUUUCACACAUUGAUCUAAAUUUUUCAAGCAACAUCCUGCAAAUGAAAAGCUUUGACCAGCCUGGGCCAAGUUCAAGUUCUUUACCUUAUUCAAACUUAAAAGUAGUUGGACAAAGUCAAGUGGCAAUCCCUUCAGACUCUAAUGAAGUAAAUGUAAAAGUUACGCAAAACAACCUGCUGUUUCAGGAGGAGAAACCAAGCAACAAAAUGAAUAUUGGCGAUACAAAUACAUCGAAUGGUAAUUCUGGAACUCAGUCAACUCAAAACAUGGUAAGCAAUGAACAGCUCACCCAACUUACCAACCUUUCAGCCUCUCUAGCUCAGUUAUUUGGAAAGGGGCAGCAACUUCCACUACUUCAUGUUGCUCUUAAUGCCCAUGAUGCAAUGCAGGUGAAUUCUUUUGCAAGUUCUGGAGGACCUAUUGAGCCUGAUUCCAUGCCAACUGUACAACCAGGUCAAGACGUUACAUUCCUGAAGCAAUAUGACCCUAUAUCUGAUAGCAUUGAGCCUGUUAAGAAGCAGGACACAAAUACUAAGCCUUUGGGGUUUUCAAUACAUCCUGUUGCUCAGAAGAAUACUGCAGAUGGAAAACCAGAACUAUCAGCUAAUAUGUUACUACCAUCAUCUCUUGUGGGUAGCACAAAUGGUGGUGAUUAUCAUAAUGACCACAGUUGCAAAAGAGAGCCUGAUUCCGAUAGCCAUAUGCCAAAUCGGGUGGAGCCUGUUGCAAGUUCUGAGGUGACAAAGGAAAAUGAAGGAGUUGAGGAAACCAAGAAAGCUCAAGAGGAGAAUAAGAAUGGUCCAUCAGAGAAUGUAGAUGCAGAUGAUAGGACUGAUGAGGGCAAGAAGAGCAAAGAUGGUAAGGGGAUUCGUGCAUUUAAAUUUGCACUUGUUGAGUUUGUCAAGGAUCUCCUCAAACCAACAUGGAAGGAAGGUCAAAUUGGCAAAGACGCAUACAAAAACAUUGUGAAGAAAGUUGUUGACAAAGUGACCGCUACAAUGCAAGGAGCUAAUAUUCCUCAAACACCUGAAAAAAUUGAUCAAUAUCUGUCAUUUUCAAAACCAAAGCUUAGCAAACUUGUACAGGUGAGUGCAGCUUACUUUUAAAUUGAAGGUUUCAAACUUUGUAGGGGAAGGGUAAAACAACAUAAGACCUUUCUUUUGUUGUCUUUUCCAUUAGUGCUUAGCAUGUUUAUCUGGCCUUCAUUUGUGCCAUCAUUUGUAACUUUCGUUAUAUCACACAAUAACAUGCUUAUUGCUAGGGGCUCUUGAUCAAUGUGCUUUUGGUCAUAUAAGUUGCAACUCAUUGGAAGAUGUCUUAUGUCAUGUCAAUGGUUGAAGUUGAUAGACAAUUUCCUUUUAUAAUGUUAUUGUUAAUUUAAUCUAGGCUGUUUCAUUUUAUGCAUAGUUUGCUGACCUCUUUACAUUCCUUAUUCUGUUGCAGGCAUAUGUGGAAAAGUUUCAGAAGAACUAAAAGAAACAUGGGAUCGUCCUGUCUUUUUGUUUUAUUAUUUUUAUAGUUAUAUAUUAAGCCGUCAUAUCUUUUGUUUUUUUUUUUCAUUUCUUUAUCCAGUUUCCUGUAGCUUCUAGGAAUGCUAACCUUUUCAUUUUUGUUUAUGUUUUAUUCCUUGGAAGCAGGGUUAGGUAGUGAACUUUAACUCCCUGUAGAUAUUUUGUUAUUUUUGUAUUAGAAGUUAAUAUAUGAUGUUGGCACUUGCUUGUCAUAUGUGGGUAUUUUGUGCCAGUUGUGAUGUUUCUAAAUCUAGUGUCUGAUAGUGAUUGUUGCUAUCUAGGCAUCCUGUUUGAUCUAGGGUUUUAUAUGCCUGAGUUAGAUGUUUAGACAUUUUUGAAACUUAGCAUGUUAUUUUCUUGGCAUUUAGCAUUGAUAUGUUUGUCAGUGAAGAGCAUAGAAAUUUUGCCUUAUUAAAGUUCAUAUAACUGCAUGCCUGCAUUGCCAAGGAAUUGCCAACAUGGUCAUGCAGUUGGGUUGUUUUAUGCCAUGAGAUUUCCUGCCAUUGCUUCUGAGCGUGAAGAACACAAUGAAAAUUGUCUUCAGUGACGCAAGGAAUGCGAAAGAUAAUUGUUAAUAUACAUUUUGUGUAUGGAUUUUGUAGUAACAGGACACUUGGUGAAGUAUAUCUCUGUUGAAUGGAAGUCCCCGUCAUUUUUUCAUGAAGUUAUGCUUCAGCGUCCUUGGUAUUAUUAUGUUUUCUAAUGCUUGACAGCAAGUGGAUGCUGCAAUACGGGGUUCUUGUCUGAUCAAGCUUUUGGCAUAGCUAACAUCCAGAACAGUGGUAUGACUGAGCCAUUUUAUGUAGUAACACUUUGCUCGUAAGUUAUCGUGUCAGAUAUAAUGGACCAGGAUUACGUUGAGAAGUUUAAGCUAAUAUUAAAAGGGAUCAUGCCAUGCAUGCAAAGACUCAAGUGGUUUUGUUUAAAUUUUGAUAAUUUGUUUGAAUGGGAAUAUGGCAUUCAUGCAAUUCAGGUAUUUUUAGUAAAUUUUAACCCAAAAAAAUUAUGUAAACAGGGAAUUUUGGUAAAAAAGAAUAUGAUUAUGGUAGAACUUAAAAGAAAAGGGGAUGAAAUAGGAAUUAGGGUUGCGAAAUGAGAGUGGCCGACAUCCAUGAUGAGAAUAGAAGCGAGUCAUAAGUAUUCAAAUGACGAGAGGCUUAAUUUGGAGCUCAAUAUCUUAGGUUUUAUGUAUAGAUGAUGCCUAAAACAUGAUUGAACGGAACCGCACCCCCUCCGUCCCUGUCGCACCCUUUGAGUCUUUGAAAUUAAUUCUAGGCAGAGAGUAUGUGGUUGCAUUUAUCACGUGUGCUAUCCUUUUUUGUACGUUUUGGAUUACUGAGAUUGCCACAGCAUAGAGUCAUGGGGUUGGCUUGCCUAGCUGUUAAUAAGCUAACUAUGACUCUAAUCCCACUAAUACCAACCAACCUCUACUCAAGUAUAUGUAUACACCGUAUGUACUGUAGUACACCAAAGUUGUAGGUGAAUGUUCUGCAGGCCAUAAAGAAACCUAGUCCAAAAUGAAGGGGGGGAUUUGGAGGGGAGGGGUAUUUUUGGAAUUCAGGUUUUGUUGACAAAAAGGGGAAGGCAGAAAAGCAGGCUUAAAUUUAAAUUUGUUUGUGCAUGCAAUGCAUCUUCCCAAUGCUCGGAGAGAUUUGGUUGAAGAUGAGGUUUUCAGGUGCUAUUUUAGGACCCGACAAGGGACAAGUCCACUUUUUCCUUUCUUUUCCCCUAAGUUGACAAUUGAAAAAAAAUUUUCCUCCUACUCACAACCGCGGUCCGGACUCCGAGGAGAGAGGGCUCUUAAAUUUCACAACCCUAACCCCUCCAUUCCUCCUUCCCUUUUUAUUUCUUAGGGAAUGGAUGAGCCAAUGGGUGUCAGAUCUCGUAACAUGUUCUUCCCAAUUCAUCAACUGUUUUGAUGAAGUAAGCCUCUCUUUUUCAUACAACCAUUGUCUUGUUCCUCACCACUUCCAGUUCUAGUUGGCCCAGACUUGGUUUCCAUUCACAAAAAUUAUUGCUGAAGGAGUCAAAAAGGGGCACUCCAUGGGUAUAUAGUUAAUUCUUAUUUGUGUCCCUUGCCCUCAAUUCGAUUUCAACUUCACACCUCGUUCCUCUUUUAUUUAUUUAUUUAUUUAUUCUAUAUAUAUAUAUAUAUAUAUUGUUGACUAUAUAUAUCAUUCAAAAAUUAGUAGAGAUUACGUCAUUUCUCUUAAAUCAUAAGCCUUAAUUUGUCUGCUUGACAAAACAAAAGAUAACUAUUAGAUGAGGCCAAUUAAUUAGUUGGUUCCAUUUAAACUUCAAUCCUACUAAUCAUUAUUUCCUAAUAUAUAUGACGACUUUUCUAUUUGUAGUAUAUUCUUUGCAUUUUGGAUAACCUGUUGCUAUGUAUAGCAACUCUUUUUUUUCUUUAUUAACAAUAUCUCUUGUAAUUUCAUAAUAGUCAAUUUCAAAUUAAUUAAAUAAUUAAAUUUCUUAACUUGACAAGUUAUCAUUAUCAUAAUAUAUACAUACUCACAUGUACACAUGCAUUUGUUUACAGUAAUACCGAGAUCUAUUUUUGUUAUGCUUUACAACGUUAAUCUAAGAAUCUUAGCUAGCAGUGUCACAUGAGUACAUGUGCAUAAUCAAUGGCUUGGCAGAUGAUCUAUAUAUCCAUAGAGGUGACACAUCUCAAAACUAUCUAUGACCUACGCACUUUAUCUAUUUGUAGUCAAAGUUUUAAAAGGUAAACUAAAAGUACUAUACGCGUAGUUGAACCCCUCAAUCACCUUUAGACUUGGUUGCUUGUAACUUGUCAAUGGAAAUGCCUCAUAUCUUUGACUAGGAAGUUCUCACAGAGGUUACCGCGUACAUGUACAAUCAUCAUAUACGUGUAAUGUAAUGCUUGAAUGGUACUUGGGUCCUUUUGUUUGUGAUUGAUACAAUAAUAAUGCCAAAGUUUAAUUCUAUACUAUGUUACAUCAUGGGUGUUUGGGAAUAGGCAAGUGAAACCCUAGCAAAUGAAUGAUUGCUUUGUGCAUGCGCGAGUGGGAGAGCAAAUAGAAUUAUAACAUUGAUUCAAUGAAAGUGACCAAAGCGUGUGUGUUGCAUUUGUUAUUAAAGGAGAGAGAGAGAAAGCGCGGGGAUGAUCUAAGCAAUUUGUCCCGCCGUCUGAUAUAGGUUGGAGGGUGUGAUGCAGUAGAGUUGCUAAUUAAGUAAGAAAAACCUUUCCCUCCCAGCCAAAGUUUGGUUCAUGAUUGAUUGUACCAGAUGAAUCAGAAAGACAGUUUCAGACGCUAUAGAAAUUAUGUGGUUUCAGCCCAAAACUCAUUAUUAUUACCCAACCUGAUGCACCUUUUAUUGCAUGAUAGCUGUAGCUCUACUAAUUUCUUCCUUUUUUCCCCCUUUUGGUCUAUGCUGUGGGAAGAUUGUGUGCUCUCUUUCUCUCCUGUGAGAGAAGAAGAAGAAGAAUAUUGAGAAGAAACAAAGAGGAAAAUUAAAGAAGAAUAUUCACAAAACUCUUUAUUGUCAUCUAUCCUUCAGCCCAAACUAAAAACCAUGUUCUAGUUGUUCAUUAAUUAGACUGCUUGAAGAUGUUGCAUAUAUACUUGUUUAGGUUGUUCAAUCCUAAUUAGACAGUUUUAACUUUUCGUAGUCAUACACUGGCUGCAAUAUAUAUGUAAUUGGGUUAAAUUUUUCCAAGGAACCUAGUUCUUGUAUAAUCGCAUUCUUUCCCCAAGCUCCAAAAUGUACAUCAUGGUUUUAGAGUUAUUUUCUACACAAUCUAAGAAACCAAAUCCUAUAAUAUUCUUUCUGGCCACCAAAAGAUAUAAUUUUUUUGUUAAACCACACGGUGCACUAAAAAAAUCAAUUUAUAUAUUUAUAUACUUUUAUGUGUUAAACAUGAAAAAUUAAGUAACAAACUAAAAGUAAACAUAACAAUUAGGUCAUAGAGCUUUUAUAAUUUCCUUUUAUACAUGUUAAUGAGCUUCAAUUUAAUUUAGGAAACCAAAAUCACUUCCGAUAAUGUGAAAUCACCACCUUUUUUCAAAAAUUCAUGUUAACUUAAAUCACACAAUAUUAAAUUUAAAAAUGUUCAAAGAUUAUUAUUGAUACGAAAGAUCAAUAUUCGUCAGUGACAAUGACGUAUCCAGCAUAUAUAUAUAUAUAUAUAUAUGAAUAAUGGUAAAAAGAGUUUGUGAACAUAGGCGCAGAAUAUGGAAAUUUUGAUUAACAUGCACAUGUCACUUUAUGUGAAUGAUACAAGCAGCAUUUAUUCCAAAUUGACAGCAAAAGAACAGCUAGAUUUCUGAUUUGCUUUACUUUUCAUGUUUUUCUAAACAAUUACAUGGUAGCUUUAAAUCCAAUGUGAAAAUCAGUAAGUAUUAGAUGCAAUUCAUGCUUAAGCAAAAAAUUGGUAUUGAUUUGCUUGAAGAAAGAUGGCUUUAUAUUGUUAUUAUAUUUGUAUGAUAUAAACUCAGAUUUUUAUUUAAUGCUUAGCCAAACUAGAGACUCCAGAAGUAUUACUGAUCAACUUAACCAAAUGCACCAAAAAGAAAAUGAAAAGGAAAUCUAUCAUCAUGUGAAGCAAAACCAUAAUGAACAAGAAUAUAUAUAUAUAUAUAUAUAUAUAUAUAUAUAUAUAUAUAUAUGUACAGACAUAUACAUAGACAUACAUAUAUAUAUAUAUAUAUAUAUAAUUCCGUAAUCAUUGAGAAUAAUUGAUAAUUACUUGCUUUUUUAGCUCAUGUUAGCAGUAGUAAAAGAGGCAAAAAGGGUUAAGAGGAGUAGGGUUAGGGCCAGAUCUUAUGAGAAUUAUAAUGAGGUGCAAGUUUUAAAUGUAUUACACAAACUUAAUCGUAAAAUGGUAUUCGUACCAAUCUUUGAAAAAGCCAAACAAAACCAUCAGUACAUCCUGGAAAAACAAACCCUAUAGCAAAAAGCCCUAAAAUUUCAGUGCUUGAUAUGUGAUAUGCCAUAUACAAUUAGAAAUGAAUGAACUCUAGAAAUAUGGCAAAGGCUGCUAGCUUCACUAGGGGCAAUUCAAUUCUUGACUCUAGCUAGAGUACUUGUGAGAAAAAGUGAAGAAAAAUCUCAACCCUUGGAUUGAUAUCCAGUGAUCCAACUAGGUCCAAAAACGUAGCCAAUAUUUUGCCAUAUAUAUAUUCCCCAUGCUUUCUCUCGUUCUAACCCUUAGUUAUGACAUAUGGGUCAUCAAGCUUCUUAAAGCUACAGAAACACCAAAGGAGGGUUUUCUUUUGCCAAUAACCAAACCCUUUAGCAUAGGGGCUUUUAUAGGAAGAAGGGUAAACUUUAAUGUGUUAUUAUAAUCGUGCAAACCACUUCAACAAGCCAUUGGAUAGUGUCUCUCUCUCUCUCUCUCUCUCUCUCCCUCAUUCCUUUUUGAACAGAGAGAAUUCAGAAGCUCCCUCACUCAAUUGAUGGAUAUCAAUCAAACAAAGCUCCCAAGUCACACUUGGAAUCUUGAAAUGUCCACGGAAGAUCAUGUCCUUCAUGAGCAAGUUCCUUUGAAUCCAAUUUGGCCUAGCUACCCUCUUCAAACGCAUCAAACACCAUCCUCAACCUCCAGCCAAAUACCUAGUGCAACAAAUGUUUACAGUGACCAAAUGGGUCAGCUUGCUGAAGAGGAAGAAGAGACAGAAGAAGAGUUAAGCGCCAUGAAAGAAAUGUUGUACAAAAUAGCGGCGAUGCAGCCCGUGGACAUAGAUCCAGCCACUAUCCGAAAGCCCAAGAGACGCAACGUGAGAAUCAGUGAUGACCCCCAGAGCGUGGCAGCGCGUCACAGGCGAGAGAGGAUAAGCGAAAAGAUCAGAAUUCUGCAAAGACUCGUUCCAGGAGGCACGAAAAUGGACACAGCUUCAAUGCUAGAUGAAGCCAUCCGCUAUGUCAAGUUCUUGAAGAGGCAGAUUCGGCUGUUACAACCCAAUAACCAGCAGCCACCAUGCCAUGUGAACUGGCAAGUUACUCCAAAUAAACCUCUCGUUUCGACCUCCUCAACCUCGAUGGAGACACAGCAGGCAGGCCCUGAAUUCACUUUCGGUGGCAACGGGGGAAACCCCUUGUGCUUUAAUCAUGAGGUAAUUAAUGAUUAAUAUCCCUAAAUCAACAUGUAAUUGUUGUAUUAAUGAUAAUAUUAGUGAAAAAGGGGUGUGUGUAUAUAUAUAUAUAUAUAUAUAUGAAGAUUAAGAUUAUAACCUUUCCAAAAAAAAAAACAAUGAUUAAGAUUAUCAGAUGUAAUGCUAUCUUAGGGGGUCAAGGGAGUUGGGGGGGAGAAGGGUUUGUUAGGAUUUUGUUGACUAAGGUGUCGAAUAAUCAUAACGGUUAGCUUGAGUUACGUUGAGCCAUAUAUAAAAUAUAUAAUAAGGUUAUUGAAGAGUCUAAAUUGGCCGGAAACUUUGUUUGGCCGACUCUCUUUCCGGGAAUAAAAAGGUGACGUGAGAAAGCUAUUGAAAUCAUUGUUCUUUCCCCUCUCUUUUUCUGCAUAUAUAUACUAUUUUUAUUUUUGGGCUGUUUUCGGGGUUUGUGGAUGAGCACAUGUAUGCAAGUGCAUAUAUAUUUUGUUUAUACAUAUAUGCAUGAAUACAUGUGACAUUGUGGCAUGCCCUCAUUGGUGAAAUGCGAUAAAUGUAAAUAUAGAACAAGAUGAUUCAUACUAAACUAUGAAAUCCAAAUUACAUGUUGUUUUCUCUUCUCUUUUUUUCAGUCAAUCAAAAGAUUUUCAUUAAUAUGGUAUAAGCUACAAGAGUGUCAGCUUAAUGGUCCUGCGUACAAGCAACAGUACAAAAGAUAUCUUGUUGUUGCAAAAAAUCAUAAGAAAGAAGCCUCCAAAAAUAACAGAGCGAAGACAAUGCAUAGGUAGAUUAAAAGUUAAUGCCAAAAAGACAUAAAAUAAAUCACAGGCACAUAAUAGAACACAAGCCCCCAAGAAGACAAAGCAACAACAAAUUCGAAAUCCAGCAACAAUGCACAUAACAGCUCAAAUCACAGUUUAUCCAACAGAUUGCACCAGGUAACAGGCAAAAACUCAAGAAAGUAAUAAAGGCGUAAUGAGACGUGCUUACGCAAUACAAAAUUCACCACCAAGCAAAAAAUGAAGAGGGUUUGUCAACACCAUACGUAGCCAAGGAGUCAGCAAAGCCAUUACCUUCUCUAAAUACAUGGGAAAAGAACACAGUACUUAGAGAAAGGCAUAGAGAAUCCAACUCAUUAAAAAUAUGCCAUUUGUCCCAAGGGCGUUGCUCAAGUGAUUUCCAUCCACAAAAGAGCUACUUUUAAGUUAGACUCAAUAGUGUUCAUUUGGGGAAAGAAGAAAAAAACAAAAGACCCCUUAUAUGUAAGUGACUUAAACCCUAGAUUCGUUCAAGCUAAAAUGAAAAUGACAAAAAAAAAAAAAAAGAUAUGGGCAAUUGAGCUUAAACGCUUAGCUCAAGUGGUAGAGGUGGGAUAAGAUUUGGACAGAAAUUCUAAUUAAGUCCUAUAUCAAAAAUGAAAAUGAAGAAAACGUGGUUGUGACCUUAAAAAAACCUUGCAAUGUGUCAUGGUCCUUGCGUGGAUGUGAAUCUCACAUCAUAGAGAUAAUGUUCUCAACAGGUGAGAUACAAAGUCUCACAUCGAUGAGAAACUCCGAACGAGAAAUAAAGGUAGAUGUCAUGGUUAUAGAGAAGGAGCCAUGAAUCCCACAUUGAUUAUAUACUAGAAUGAUACUGGAAAUAUAAGGGUUCACAUCAACUUUAACCUAUAAAGGACCUUUUGUGAGAUAAAAUCGUAAGGUCAAUAGACCAAAGUAGACAAUACCUCAUACGGGUUGAUGUGAACCAUGACACAAUGCAUUGUCUUUCCUUGUUCUUAUUUUUUGUUCUCCUCAAAGAUUUGGCAGCUAAGAUGAUAAAGAUAAACCUUGUUGAGUAUGUUCCCAAUGUUACUUGAGAGAGAUUCACUUAAAACUAAGUUUUGAUAUUAUAAUGUUCAUUUACAUGAAAUUGAAGAAGUUGAAUUAGGAUUGCCAUAGCCAGAUGUAUCAAAUCUUUCCACACAUGGAGUUUUGCGACUCCUCUUGUUGUUGCUUUAUUCCAAGAUAAAGUGAUAAAUAUAUUAGGUCAUUACAUUUUUCUUUUGGCUAUAAUACUUAUUCAAGAUGAUAAAAAUCAAGCUUCUUAACUUGCAUUUGGGUGCCACAUGCAAUAUAUAUCUAGCAAUAUAUGUAGGUAUCACUACCAAAUGCACACUCACACCCAUAUCUGUGAUCUAAUAUGAAUACAUCAACUUUCAUUUGGGUAUUAAAAACUGAUUUAGACUGCAUUGUAAUGUCAAACAUAUUCACAAUUUUCCAUCCAACUUGAGGUUUGAGCCAAUAGUGACUUUUUAUCAUAAUUUUCCAAACUACAGUUUUUCUAUAAUUGCUCUAGGCAUGAACGGUUUUCCAACCCAACCAUAAUAAAAUGAAACUAAACUUCAGUCUCUCAUUAAUUAGGUUUUUGUUCUAAGAUGAGUUUUAUUCUUGUAUACAUUUUUUUUUUUUGCUUAUUUUUCAUUCAUAAUUUAUUGGUUAAACAUAUAAUUGUUCUUCUUUUAUUAGAUUAUAAAAAAAUAGUUUUGACUUGAGUUGGUAAUGAUUUAUAUAUGGAUUUAGGAAGUGUUUAAACAAUUAAUCCUUUGUGCAAGAGAUUGAGGCGAAAUUAAGCCAACUGGGGGACUGGCAAAUGAGUUAAUUAAAAAUUCUACUUUGAUCAUUACAUUUUGCAAUUAAAAAUUACGAUUGUAAUUUGAAAUUUGCUAAAAAAUGUAAAAUUGUGAUUUAAUAGUGUAAAAUGUAUAGCAUUGGUGAAAGUGCUGUGAGAAGAUUAAUUUAAUAAAAUGGACAUAUUGCUAAAAUAGUAAAAUAAAAUUCAUUUGAUUUAAAUAAGUGGAUAUUUAUAUUUUUAAUGCAAUAAAAAUCAUGUUCAAUCGCAAAACAGUCGGUUCUUACAUUGCUUUAGCAAACCACUGAAGUUAUAAUUCUUUUAUCACAAUUAUUACAGUGAUCGACAUUAUAAUUAUAAUGAAAUUCAAUAAUUAUAAAUAAAAUGUAUCUAUAACUGUGAACGAAACUAGCUUUUAAGCCAUUCACAUAAUCAUUUUUGGACAAAAUAUGUGAUUCAAAUAAGCUAUUGAAAAAAAAAAGUUAAAUAUUGAAUAUAUGAGAGCGUCCAUAUAAAUAUAUAUUGAACAAUACAUGGAAUAAAAAAUUUAAAGAUAAAUAAAAUUUUAAAUUUAUAUAUUUAUUUAUAUUUAUGUCGUUGAUUUGUUAUCUUAUAUCUUGGCUCCACGAUACACUUGAAAAGGGCCUUACCCCUCAUCUCAUAUGUCUUAUAAGCUUGUUCAGAUUCGUUAGAUCCUUAGCGUCGGCCUUGAUCACCAUUUGGUUCUAAUUAGCUCUAAUUAAAAGGAUAGUUUGAUGCAAUUUACAACUUUGCAUCUUAAUACCAUUUCUAAUGGAACUUUUCAAUCUUUUAUAAUUGGAGAACAAGUGAAAAUAAAAAAAUAAAAAUAAAAAAGAGUGAGGAGAAUUAAAGAAAGAAAAACUAGAAAGGAAACUAAACUCGGUAGCUAUUGAAAUAUGAGUUUCAAUACUCAAUAACUAAUACAUUAUCUUUGAAAAAUAGCAAGUUAAUGCCUUUUUUAGGUUUAUGAUAAAUGAUCAGUUAUUGAUGGCUUAGGAAGGAUAAAGUUAAUAAACAUGAAUUAUUGAAAAAUCAUUGAUUUUAUAUAUUCAAAGUUACCAAAAAGCAUGACUUGUAGAAGCAUGCAUCCCUAACACUAUUCAAAGAAAUGUAUUGGAAUUUUUUUAACUAAAAAGGCCUAUUGGCUCAAUUGGUUAGAGCGCCGUGCUAAUAACGCGAAGGUUGCAAGUUCAUACCUGCAUGGGCCAAUUUUUUAAUCCUUAUUGGAAAAAAUUUUAUGCUAUAUGUGUGUGUUAAAUGUUGAAUAUUUUCAAUCUUUUAUCAAGAGUAAGGAUGAAAUUAUACCGUUGUAAAACUUUUUUCUUUUAUAACUUCUUAUAGCUUCAUAAUCUUAAAAAAAAAAACUUCUUAUAGCUUCAUAUGUAAUUAAUAUUUUAUUGAAUUGACCGUUAGAUUAAACAACUACUCAUAUUCAUCAAUGCAUAUAAAAUUUUGAAUCACCAUAUUUAACAAUAAAACUUUAUUAUCUCAAAUAAUUAAUUAGACAAUAUAACUUGAAAUUUGGUGGUCAUGAUCUACUUGAAUAAAGUAUGAACUCCAAUGAUUGAAUUUACUAAAUAUAAAUAGUAUAAAAAAUACUAAAGAGUGUGAGUGAAUCUCUCCUCCCUUAUCAUAUAUUACCUAAACUUUGCCUUGAAAUAAUUCACCACCAUCACUCUUGCCCAUUAUGUCAAAUUAUGGUUUUUAACUCUCAAGUAUACAGAUUAAAAUUAAAUACACUACAUGGUUUUAGAUGUUUAAAAAACCAAAAAAGUACUUUUAAAAGCUUUUGAAAAUACGAAAUUUAAAAAAAAUUACUUUUUAAAAUUAAUUCAAUUAUUUCUUGAUUACUCAUUCAAUAAGAUUUCUCACAUUAUAAUCCUAGGAGGUUUUGCAUAUUAUCAAUUAAUAUAACACACUAAGAAAACACAUUAAAUUUCACGAAAACAUAAAACUCAACAUGUUAUCAUUCGAUCCUCUUCUAAAUUAAAUAUCCACCUUUCGUUUUUGAGUUGUCUUAAAAUUAUAUGUAUUUUCUUCUUUAAAUACCAACAAUUUUUUUCUAUGUUUUAUAUUCAUUUAUAUAUAUAUUAAUUUUUGGCAUUAAAAAUUAUAUUUAAUCAAUGUUAUAAAAAAUUGUUAAUCAAAAAAUAGAUCAAAGGCCUUACAAUCAAAAUAUUUUUCAAAAAUUCAAUUUGAAGUAGAUGGAAUAUAAAAUUAAUUUUGUAAUACUCUUUUAGCAAUAACGAAGCAUGGCACUUUAGCAUUUGACUUAUUGAUUAACACAUAAUUUCUUUAUUCAAUACGUAAAAUUCGAAUCCCCUUUCACAAAAAAAAAAUAAUGAAACAUGAGUAUUUACAUUAUAUUUAACAUGGUAGUUUUAAGAGGUAUACUUUGACAUUUAUUUUUUUAUUCAUAUAAAUAAAUUUUUUUAAUUUUUCAAUAUAUUUUCACUUGUACGUCUUAAUUUUAAAUGUUGUUUUGUUUUUUUAUUUAUUGUGGAAAAAUAGAAAAUUACAUCAUUUUAGACCAACAAACUCCUAAAUUUUUUAUGUUAUUUUAUUGUUUUACAAUAAUUUCUUAGAAAUGAAAGCAAAACCUAAGAGCUUAAGUAGUUAUGAAAGAAAGUUUAUCUUGCUGUAAAUUAAAAGUAUGAUUUAUUUUAUUUUAUUUCUUUUUCCAAUAGUAAAUCACAUUUUUAAAAUUUAGGAAAAAAAAAGCAAAUUCAUUCAAUAAUUACAUUUUUUUUAUAUGUUAGAGAAGGCAAAUAUUUUUCUUAUAAUACAUCUGAACAUUGGAUUCAAUUAUAAGUAUUAAUUAGUAUCUUUUUAUUGGCAUAAUCGAAUUCAAAUCCUUCCUUGUAUAAUGAUUAUGCUGUUGGUAUUGGAUCAACUAUCUAUAAAUAGAAAUGAAAAAUUAAGAAAGAUGACAAAUCCAAUUUUAGGACAACACACAUUAAAAUGAUAAAUUAAUAGAUUAUGAAAUUACAAAAAUAACCUCCUCCAGGACAAAAACUCCAACUGCUUAAUAAUUUAUUAUUUAUUAUUAUAAUAUAAUUGUAACAAUAAUACUUUUAGCAGGCUUUGUUUAUGAUAUAUUUUUCUGGUGGAAGCUUUGGCAAUGAUUUUCCAUUCAUAUAUUUUCAUGUAUUGCUGUCUCUUUCUCCUAACCACCUCUCCGAUCUCCUUCUCUUCACAGCCCACUUAUCUCUCCCAUUCCUUUCCAUUGAAGCAUUCUGUCAAUUCUCUCUUCUCCUUUCUGAUUCAUUUCAAUGUUAUAUUUCUCUCUAACUCUGCCUUCAUCCACCAGCUAAGUACGAUCUUUUUUUUUUCUCAUUUAAUUCAUCCGAAUUAUUUGAUUUCUCUGUUCUUUUUGCAUCUGGGUUUGUUUUUCUUGAGAUUUGGCAAAAACCCAUUUUGUUUAUUUGGUCGUUGAUGCCAAAUGAGUUGUUAUAAAGAUGAUAGCUUUCAGCUUGAAUUUCUGGAAAAGCUGUAAUUUGAGCAUUGGAUAUGUUUAGAUAUGCUCGUUUCGUUUUGCUUCUAUAUAAUGUUGUUGCUCUACUUUGAAACUCUUAUAUUUCUGUGAGCUGAAUGUGGGGCAUUUAUUUGAACUGACGGUGAAAUUUUGUUAAUGGAUAGUGUGGUACUUAUAUUGGAUCAAUUAUAUAACGUGUUUAAAGUUGUUUAUAGAUAAAUGGGUUAUUGAAGAUCUUAAAGUUAUAAUCUUUUCAUUGUGGGUUGCUGUUUUUGUUGGAAGUUUGUUGAAUGUUGGUGGUAGGAGAUGGUAGAAAAAAAAUAGUUUCAUGAAUGUUAGUUGGAAUAUAUUGGCAUUAUGAAUUGAUUGAGAUGGUGAAUAAUUUUAGUCGGAGUACAUCAUUCAACCGAAGGGCGUUGAAUGUUGAUAGCCCGAGAUUUUUGAGUAUUGCAAGCCCCAGAGCCUUGAAUCUUCUUAGCCCUAAACCACUGGGUUUUGCUAGUCCUAGAGUUCAUCAUAGGUUGGGCUGGGUCUCACGCUUGUUUCCUGUGCUUAUUCUCAUUGGGGCUUUGAUUUCAUUUUUUAUAGUAAUUGGUGGAGGUUAUAUGUAUGUUCUCCCUAGUCUCAGUCAAGCAUUUCUUGGGUAUAGUGUGUCAAAAUUCAAUGAAUCGAGCGAUGUUUGUGAUAUUUUUGAUGGAAGCUGGGUUAUAGAUGAUAGUUACCCAUUAUACAAUGCUUCUGAAUGUCCAUAUGCUGAACAAGGAUUCAAUUGCUUGGGAAAUGGCAGGAAAGAUAAAGAUUAUCUUAAAUGGAGGUGGAAACCAAAAAAUUGUGAUAUCCCAAGGUUCAAUGUGCAAAAUGUUCUGGAAAUGCUUCGAGAUAAAAGGAUUGUUUUUGUUGGAGAUUCUAUGAGUAGAACACAGUGGGAAUCAUUGAUAUGCUUGCUCAUAACUGGAGUGGAAGAUAAGAAGAGUGUUUAUGAAGUUAAUGGGAAUAAGAUAACUAAACGGAUCAGGUUUUUAGGUGUGCGGUUUAGUUCCUUCAAUUUUACCAUUGAGUUCUUUCGCUCAGUUUUCUUGGUGCAACAUGGUUGGAUGCCUAGACAUGCUCCAAAGCGGGUUAGGUCAACCCUUAAGUUGGACAAGUUGGAUGAUAUUAGCAAUGAGUGGAUUAAUGCAGAUGUUCUCGUAUUCAACACGGGACAAUGGUGGGUACCAGGGAAGCUCUUUGAAACGUAAGUUGCCCUCAGUCUGUCUGUAAAUUUACAUGAUGACAUAUGGUUAAUUUCUUGUUAUUUCAAAAAGCAAUAUCUUCAAUUUGAGAGUUCUCAUGAAUGACUUUGAUGGCAUGUCAAAAGCGAUGCUCUAGACUCUCUUCCAAUGUCACUUUCUGUGCUUAUAAAUAUUUAUGUGUCAAUGAUGCUCUUUAUAUCUGGGGUUAUGCUUUUUUUCCAUCUUUCAAAGUCCAUAUGCUUAAAUGAAUGUCACUUAUUGAAUCUUAAAGAAAAGUUUCUAUCUCCCCCCUCUUCUUUCCCCCUUCCCUUUUUUUUUUUUGAUUGAUGGUUAGGGGAAAAUCUAGCAGUUGCAGCAACAUGUUAAUGGUUUACUUAUGUAGUUGUAUUAUACAUCCUCUUGUUGUUUUCUACGUAUUGCAUAACAUUUACUGUAUCAUGACCUUUGUGAGAAUUUUGACUGUGAAGGAUCCCUUGCUGCUGGAAUACUUACGCUGUUGUACUUGACAAUUGGGCAAAUUAUAGAACCCACGAUCUUUCUUUCCAAGUAGGGGUCAUUCUAGUGUUCACUUCUAGGAGAUACAAUGAGUUGGGACUUGUCCACAUUCAUUAAUAGUAUCUAUCUAGUUUUGUAGGUUACAAUGAUUCAGUCAUUUGGUUCUGUUUCUUUGGGCUACAAUGUGAAGAAUUUGAAACUAAACUUUUAUGAUACUUAAGGAAAAUGUACAUGAAUUCAUUUUUGUGCUUCUGUUUUAAUUUGGAUCCCUACUACUCUUGAGCUUGCAACUUCUGCCAUUUUGGAGGUUGCAAAGCAAAACACUUAUUCCUGGACAAGUAGAUUACCAUUCUUCAAUCAACAUAUACACUUCAAAUGCCAUGAGAGAAUGCUGAUAGGAAACUAAAAAAAUAUUUCCCGAUUACAUUCAUAUAAUAUUAUUCUUACAUUUUUCCCUCCUGCAGCUUGUUUAAAUAAAGGUUUCUCUUUUUUACCCUGUCCUGUAGUUUAGCUUAAGUUUAUUUUAAAAGAAUGAUGCUUUACCUGUAUAUGAACUCCUUGAUCAAUAAUAACAUCAACAUAUAAUUUUGAAAACCUCAAAGUCGGCAUCAGUUAUUAUUCCUAGGUUGCUCAAAGAAGAUAAAAGUAAAUUUGAAAAAUUAAAUGAUUAGUUAAACUGGUGCCCGAAAUCAACAAAAUUGUCUAAAUUGAAAGAGAAUCCAGGUGACAUCUCACUGGCCUUUAUUGUAUUCUAAUGCUUAGUUUUAUGCUGGAUCCUCAAAUGUGCUUUUUUGACCACAUAGUAAUCAAUGAACUUAGUCUACAGUAUAAGCAAGACCAGCUUUGUCUCUAAUUAAAAAUGACAUUUAGCUUGGAAACACUUUCUGGAUGCUUUUAUUUACACAUUUAUGAAAUGCUCCUAAAUUCUUUCUUUGGCAGCGGUUGCUACUUUCAGGUUGAAAAUUCAGUAAAGCUUGGAAUGUCAAUUCCUACCGCAUUCAGAACAGCACUAGGUACUUGGGCAUCAUGGGUUGAGAAUAUGAUUGACGCAAACAGAACACUUGUCUUUUUCCGGACUUUCGAGCCAUCUCACUGGAGGUAAUCAACAAUACCAUGAUGCUAUUUCUUUUAUUUUUCUUUGAUCAAGUACAAUUUUUGUGGAAGAGGGAUUUGAACCCAACUCUUUAAGCAGAGGAAUAUAACACUCAGCUGCACCAUUAUGCUCUUUCAAAACAUAUUACUCAAAAUGAAGUUCUUUUAGGUGCUGAAUUAAAUAUGUUAUGUUACCUUAUUUUUAACUGCUGUCCUGUCACUGGACAAACAAAAAACAACUGUCCUGUCUGUUCUUCUCGGUGUGAAUGCCAUAUGAGUUGUUCUCUCUCUCUCUCUCUCUCUCUCUCUCUCUCUCUCUCUCUCUCACAAACAGAUAUUGUGUUGCAGCUUUUUCUCUGUUUCAGCAAACAACCCUGAAUUGGCAUAUAUGUACAAUUUGAACAGUUUCAGAUCUUCACAUCUAUUUCAUAGUUUUGUAAAUUAUUCUUCUCUUAAAAGGUUUUGAAGUUGGGUCUGUUUCUAGCUGGUUCCUGUUGCAGUCAACCAUCAUUUAUUGGACUAAUUUUGUCCUACCAUUUAUUUAUAUAUAAUUAAUUACAUUAUUUGCUUGUCUGCUUAAUUUCAAAAUCAUAUACGUUUGCCAUUUUAUAAAUAAUUAAUAUUUUUUUUAUUUCUGCAUCAGUGAAAAAUCGCGUCGGUUUUGCAAUGUGACCCAGAAUCCAUUAUCAGAAACUGAAGGGAGGGAUCAAAGCAUUUUCUCAGAGACUAUUUUCAAAGUGAUAAAGAAUAUGACUGUUCCUAUAACUGUUCUGCAUGUAACUUCCAUGUCGGCUUUCCGAAGAGAUGCACACGUGGGCAGGUGGAGUGACAAUCCAUCUGUGCCUGAUUGUAGCCACUGGUGUCUUCCUGGCGUACCUGAUGUCUGGAAUGAAAUUUUCCUCUCAUACCUGCUUGCUGCUUAUGAAUUUCCUGCAGUUUAUAAAGAAUAGUGAGUUCAUUUCCUUUCUGAUUUCACUUAUUUCCGGUUGUUACAGUUAUAAUUUAUACACUGCUCAAUUUGAUCUUCAUGCCCUAGGAUGAAUUUUUGUCUUUUUGAUGCUUUUAUUCGUUGUCCUUGCUUCUGAAAAUCCAUUCCAUCUCCAAUAGCCGCACAGUUCAGAAGGAAAACUUCUGUAGUUUUUCAGAUGGUAACCACAUUUUGAGUGAGUUCUCUGUGAUUGAUGCAGAUUGGAUUAGCAAGCACGAUGAUUGAACCCUGGUCUGCAUGCAGCUCUUCUCAGAACUCGAAAUUAACAUGGAUUGAAAUUCACCUCGCAUUAAGACCUAUAAUCCUCCGGGAACCAGUAUGACAAGUCUGCAAUUCUUGACAAAGCACUCAAUUUUUUAUAGAGAAAAAUGUAGAGUUACACGGAUAAAGGAACGUGUAAGAGAAACUAAUUUUUUCAUUCUUUCUUGCCCUUUUCUUACCUUUUACAUGUGAGAAGCGGCCAAAAUUGGGUAUUCAAAUGUAACAAAUUUGUCCAUGUCCUGUUCAAAUAUUAAAAUUUUGAUGAUUCACCACAUUAAGAGAUAUAUUUGUUGUUGUUGUACUUGCCAUUACUGUUCUUUUUAAGACAUAUAUAUAUAUAUAUAUAUAUAUAUAUAUAUAUAUAAUGUUGCGAAGGUCAGAUUAAACACUAAACAUAUUUUUUUCCCUCUAUCCUGUGGCCAGAUGAUAAUAUAUUCACUGCAAAUCCAAGCCUGCAAUUGAAAUGAAACAAUGUCAGAGCUUAUCCAAAACAUGAUGGUAUAGUUUCAAGACUAGUUCAAUUUCCACUUAAAUCACCACAACGUUAGUUUUUUUUUUCUCCAUCAUAAUAGUUCAUCAUCAAACUCAGACAUGUGAAUGAUGGUACCAGGUAAAACCUCAAAACUUAGGUAUUUAAUUUGCUGUAAAUUGAAGAAAGGUUCAAGAAUUCUUGAGGGACAAAUAGACAAUGAACUUGCAGAUUAAAAAUUAUUAUGUAAAUGUCAUUGGUUAUUUAAUAUAAUGUUAAAGUGCAUGUAUCUCUUAUUCAAAAAAUCAAGUUUGAAAUUUUCUUUUUUAAAAGAUUAUGUUUGAUCAAGAAAGAAUGAACAAGUUCAUUGCUCGGUAGAUGCAAUGCCAAAAUUCUGAAUUUUGAUGAUCACGGAUCCUUUGGCUGGUUCUAUAGCCUCAGGUGCCAUCCCGAUGAAGUCAUUUUCAGAAGAUUGCAAAUCAUGACCAUUUGGUCAAUGGUGAAAGUAACACAGAAAUCAACCUCACAAUACAUCAUGAAAUGAAUAGGGAAAAGCUCUGAUGCAAAAUCAAUAAUCCAUAUACAAGAAGUGUUUUUUAAUGCAAUCAAUGACAAGGCAACAACAUUCUUAGCAUGACAGUCAAGUAACUAAAACCGUAGAAGUAUGCAAAACCACUCAUAUAAGCACGAGGCAGCAACACUACAAUUAGCAUCUAUAUAUGCCCUUCUUCCAUCUCAGACUAGUACCAUCACAAGAAAGUCUUCCGCAAUCACCACUUCUCACAUUCUCACAUAGAAAUGGCUUCUAUUACCAACAUGUACUUCCCAUAUUUCCCUCUGCCACCACCCCAUGGUCCUCCAUCACCUCCAAAAAUGCCACCACCUCAUAACCAUCCUUCCCCUCCAAGGCCAACACCGCCUUAUAAACCUCCGACUCCUCCAAAAGUGUCACCACCUCAUUUUACUCCAGCCCCUCCAAAAGUUGCACCACCCCAUUAUAUUCCAACCCCUCCCAAAGUGCAACCACCUCCUAGUGCCCCAUUCUCCCCCAAAGUACCACCAUCUCCCAACGUCCCGUCCCCUUCAAAACCGAAAGUCCCUCCGCCGGCACCACAUAAUCCCAUUACACCACCACAACCACAUCCAGUUCCAGCACCACCCCAUUAUAUUCCAACCCCUCCCAAAGUGCAACCACCUCCUAAUGCCCCAUUCUCCCCAAAAGUACCACCGUCUCCCACAGUCCCGUCCCCUUCAAAACCAAAAGUCCCUCCACCGGCACCACAUAAUCCCAUUACACCACCACAACCACAUCCAGUUCCAGCACCACCCCCACAUCAUCCAUUCUAUCCGUCACCACCUGCAGCAAAACCACCUCCCCAUUCCCUUCCACCUCCCUCUCCUAUUGUGACACCACCACCUCAUAUGAUUCCACCUCCACCACCACCAGCCCCCGGACAUCAUUCAACUGUAACAAUCGUUGUCUUUGUUUCUCUUGGCGGUCUAUUCUUCCUUGCAUUCCUCUCAGUUGCUCUAUGCUGCUUCAUUAAAAAGAGAAAGAAGAAAAUGGUUGAGAAAACAGAAAUAAUAAGUAUAGAUGAACAUGUCAAAGUCCAGGAAGCCAUUAUGCCAGGCCCUCAUGGUGAACAAAACGCUGUAUUGCUCAUAGAAGAGGAUGUUCAUAUUGAAGAAGAAAUCAAGAAAAGCAAAAGGAUCAGUGAAGGAUCACAUCUUAAAUCUUCACAAGAAAUUUCUCAAGCUGCCGAUAUGGCAGCAGAUUCUCCUGGCCCCAGUCAUCAUCACCUUCUUGAGCAUAAGGCUGAUUGAGUGGUGAAAAUGAACGGCAUCAGCAGCAAACUAAGAGGUGGUUAUGCUUCAUACAAUAAUCCUGCUCUGUUAAGACAUGGAACAUUUUUAUUCUUCCCUUAUUCCUUUGUCAAAAGUGUUUCUGAAGGAAUAAAAAGCUACUAAUACUUGUUUUGCUCCUUAAUUUAUAUGAAAAAUCACAAGCAAAGCACAUACAAAAGAAUUACAGUACUAAAAAAGGUUUGCUUUUUCUAUUAUUAUGGUACACUGGAGUAUGCUUGUCAUUGACGAGGAGUACAGGCUCACUGCCAUUAGGAGAUGAGAUACCUUCUUUCUUUGUUUCAUUUCAGUAUUCAACGUCUAUGGAACAUCAUGCUUGAAACAUUUAAGGAUUGAAUCUAUCAAGGCCUUUUUCGAAGCUUGAAUAUUCUUGGAAGUUCAUGACAUUUCCCAAGCAUUGAUCAAGAUAGCUCAUGGAGAGUAGUCAUCAUCAAGUGUCUCUCUUUAAGUGGUCAUUAUCUAUUAUAUAUGGUGCAAAAUUGGAUUAUGCAUGCAUGCAUGCAUACAUACAUACAUACAUAUAUAUAUAUAUAUGUAUGUAUCAUGAUGGAAUACAAAAUAUGCAAACUUAAAAGUUUUUAAAUAAAGAGAUAAAAAAAUUAAAUCAGGUGAUCAUUAUUAUUAUUGUUAACCCACUACUUUAUUGAAUUUUACUAAAACUAUAAAAUUUAUAUUGAUCAUUUCAAUAAAAAUGGUUUUUGGGAAACCAUUGUAUAAUUAUCGUUGCUUUGCAUGGUCAGAUUUACAAUCAUAAGAGUUAUUUUUUUUUAUUCAUAAUUUGGUUCAAUAGUAACUAUAUAUAUAUAUAUAUAUAUAUCAAUUCAAUUAAAAAUUCUUUCUUAAAUCAUUAAUUAAUGAAGAUAUAAACCCUCAUCAGUUUUUAACAAAGAUUAAGUCAUAUACAAUUAAUAAAAAGCAUUCUACAAUUUUUUUUUUCAAUAAUGAUGAAUUUACUUGAAACAAAGUUCAACAGUAGUUAAUAAGUAUAAUAUGGAUGCCAUGUAUCAUUUCUAUUCAACAAAAUAUUUUAACUUAUUUUUUUUAUUUUCCAUACAAAGGAAUAGUACCACAGCAUAAAUCAAGAAUCUCUAGUCAUGCCAAAUUUCUACUUUUCUAGGCCUAAUCUAUAUCAAGGUUUUGAAUUAUUUUUCCAUAAAUGUGCAUCUCCCAAUCAUCUUUGAGUUGAAUUAUAUUGAUAAAAUAAAAGAUAAAUUUGUAAGUUUCACAUCCCAAUUAGUUAGUUUCUACAAAUUAAUGAUUCAGAUGGAUAAUUAAUUAAGUUGGUGGCUCAUGCAACUCAACUUCCUUUCAACUUCAUGCUACUCUUUCCUUCAAUUUGUGUUCUUAAAUAAAACCAAUUAUUCCUAUGAUCAAAGCAUAUGUUAAAGGUCGACAAAAAUGCACGUAGUUGGCCAACCUAAGCAUAUGAUAUUAACUUACCCAACAUAUUACUCACUGUGCCAUUCAUCUUUGUCCCAUUUCUUUGUUCUUUUUUGUUUUUUUUUUCUCUUCCUUUAUUUUAUAUUGCUUUCUCUGAUAAUAUUUUUUGGAAAUUAAGCUUUCAAAGGAAAAAAAUUGUGUCCCAAAUCAGCUCAUUAAAAAAUGAAAACAAAAAAACUUAAAACUAUCUUGUUUCAUUGUUUGUCUCUCUUGCUUCAAUAUGUUUGUUCCCUGCAUGUAUAGGACAAUGGGAUUUAUAUAAGAAUCAUCUUAAAGAAAAUUUAUAUAUAAGAAUUUAAGUAUACAUGUUGUUUGUUACUUCAAUUUACUUAAUAAGAAAAAGGAAAAAGGAAAGAUAAAUCUCAAAGUCUGUUAUUAUACGUACAGUGUCCUUCACAACUUUUUUAUUUUUUGUAAAUUAAGAUUAAAGGAAAUAUUAAAUGUUAGAAGAGAUUCCCUCAAUUGCACAAUUUUAAAAGAUAAGAUAUAUAUAUAUAUAUAGAAGAGAAUAAUCAAACAUCAUAUAUAUAACUUUGGAUGGAUUUGCCAAUAUUGACUUGUAGCUAGUACUGUAUAUAUACUAAUCAAAAUUAUGCAUUGGGAAGAACAAAAAAAUUAGCAUGGGUGGAAGCACAAGCAUGAAUUAGCUUGACAUAAUCCAUUUGCCUUAUCUCCAUAUUUUUGUAGGCACAAAUUGAGGCAGCUUGAAUCUGCACAACCUGGUAAAUCUUCUGGUGUAGCACAUACUCGCCCUUCAUUUUGCCCCAUUACCUCAUAUCCUGUAUGCAUUAUAACAUGGAAUAAUAUUCUGCUUAAAUGGUCAUUAAUAUUAAUUUUGAAAUUCAAAAUUUAGUCAAUAUAUUAUUCAAUAAACAUAUGAAUAAAAUGAAAAAGAAAUGGAAUUUAGAACUUGAGAAUCAAAUGCUAUCAAAACAGAAAUUAGAGUUGAAUAUUAAUUAUUGUCAAUGCUACAUAUACAAUUGAAAAUUAUCAUCAUUCAAGUGGAUUGAUAAGCUAAGUAAAGCAUAAUUAUUUGCUUGAUGGAAGCUUAAAAAUGGAGAAAAUAUGAUGAUGAAAUGGCUUACCAGGAGAUAAGAGAAUAAAUAGCAUAAAGAUAACAAAAACGUGUUGGCUCUUCAUUGCUUUCUCAACUCUUUGUGCAGCUAAAAGGCAAUACUAUGAAUCAUAAGGCAAUGAAAAUUGCAAUAUUUAUAAGCAAAUAACGUAAUAAGUUAGGCAACAAGUAGGAGAAUGGCAAUCUUUAUCUCUUCAAGUUAUGGGUUGUCAAGAAAGAAAUGCAGCCUACCAAUCAACUGUUUAGUAUUAUUAUUUUAGCUGAAGUCUUAACCAAUCUUUAUAAAUGUGAUGGGAUGUUUGCAGAUUUCGUAAGUUAAAGUCACAUACACAUAUCUACCAAUUUUAAUUUUCUAACUUAGAGUUAAAUCUACUUGUUAUGAAAAUGUAUAUUAAUAUAGUUUUUUAGUUUAUUGAUUUUUUAAUGAGGUAGUAAGAUCUCAAACAAUGGGGCAUGAACUUGAAGAAGAGAAAGGAUCCUAGGAAACCAGUACUUCACCUAAGCAAAUGCCUAAUGUCUAAACAUUUCUCAAUAGUUUGACGAUUCAAGCAAAAUUCUUCACAUACAAAUCGUUAAAAAAGCAUCAAUCUGCCGCUAUCAUGAUCAGAGUUGAAGGCUGCUGUACAAUCUGCUUGUUAUCUCACUUGGAUUGCUUACAGGGGAAAAGGUUAACGAUGUACUGCAAUUCGUCACGAGCAUACAUAGAUUGCAUUAAUUUUCUGUAUACCAUACACGAUACAUCAAAUGGCUGAUAACUAAUUCAGCCCCAUGCAGAUAGAAACCUUGGCGUAUUAUCAACUACAAAAAUUUUACAGAAGAUAGCACGACAGUAUCAUGGAUCGAUUGCCAUUGGAGUAAUACGCCUCUUGGCUGGCUUAUUUGAGAUGGGAGCAUUCACCGUGCUCGGUGUUGCCUGUUUCCCUUCUCUCCUUUCAGUACAUUCUGCCUUUCUGUUUUCUGCUGUAAUUGAAUCAUCAUCUUUAGCAGUUUCAAUCACCAUGUCAUCAGGUUUCUGGACGACGGGGCUCUGUUUGUCGACAUUCAUAGGUUCUAGAAAAAAACUUUGUUAGAAGUGAUUAAAGGCCAAAUGUAUAGAAACUUAAUGGACAAACAUUAGCAUAUAAAUGGAUAAACAACAAACCUAAUGAAGAACUGGGUUGUCCCAAUUCGUCCUUCUCAAAUUCUACCAAAGUACAAUAACCAUCUUGAGAUGACAAUGCUAAAUAACGAGCAUCAAAUGACCUUUCAACAACAAAAAUAGUAGCCACUUAGAACUCCGAAUGAUAAAACUCAAUCAAAAAAUGAUAGCCAUUAAACUAGGAGCAUAUCUUCUUGGGAAGUCAUAAUAUUUACCAUGAAAUGUCAGUUAUGGCUGCAUAGUGAAGACCAGCCAAAAUUGCAAUUGGAGGAACACUCUCUGUAUCGUAAAUGUACAAUGAAUUCAAAGUUGCAACUGCAAAAAUGAGGCGAUAAGGAAGCUUGAAAAAGCCGGCUGCAAAGUCAGAAAGGAAAGUCAAAUUACCAUUAAAAUUCAUGGUAGACUCCAUAACAAUAAAGCCUUAUCAGCCAAAGGUACCUGGGUUUGACCCCCGAAGGUUGAAAGCUACAGGGCAGAAACGAACUGCGACAACUGGUUUGCUAGCACCAGGGAGCUGCAAAGAAGGUCUGCCACCCAGAAAAAUAACAAACGCUAAUGUAUAUAAAAAUUCGGUCCAAACAAUUUAGGUUACAAAAUUCUUACAAUAAUAAAAUAUUGUAACUAAUUAUGCAUUAAGAUAUGAUAGAUGUCAGGCCUCCAUGGUAAUACAUAAUAGAGUAACUGUCUUUACCUUGACAGGUCCUUUCUGGAAAAGACAUAAGUAGUGUUUACUGUUUCAGAUGAAGCUGGAAUUUUGUAAAAACCUGCAAUGCAAGAAUGUCAAACAAAAUGCACUGCUAUCAAUGGAACCAAUGCAGCAAGUCCAUGCUCUUUAAAAGAUGUGAGGAACUACAGUUAAAUUCUGUAAGUGAAUUGGUUCAGAACUAUUAAGGAUGGAAAUUCAAGUUACUGCCCACAAAUGAUGACAGGAGAGAAGGUGUGUGAAAAGUCAAAAUAUUUAACCAGAGUGAAAGUAUUAAACUAUAUUGAUAACUAUUUAAUCGAACUGGACAUGCAGUUAGGUCAAUACCUGCUGGCACUAGUAAAAACGAACCAUCAGGUGACCAGGCUAAUCGACGGAAGAAUGACGGCAGUGUUUCGUCAUGAAAGAGAUGGUAUUUUACAGACUGUAUCUCAAACCAUCUGUGAGGUUAGUUAUAAGUGACAAAUCCAUGUAGAAUACAAAAAGAAACAAAGAAGAUACUUUCUAACCUUAGCAUCAUCUAUUGGUUGCUGUUCUGCCUUGACAAUCGUAUGCUGACAAAUAUAAUUCAACUUCUCAACACCCUUUGCUUUGGCUUGAGGCUUAUUGACAUAAAUUCGGCAAGUCCUAUCUGAACUGAGAGAAGCAACAUACUUGGACAAGGGAUCCCAGGCAACACCUUGAACAUAAUGGAAAUGGCCAUCCAAUAUCUGAUGGACGGAACCUGAAGAUGAUAAAAAAUGAUAAUCAUCAUGAUGAUAAAAGAGUAACAAAGCAUUUUUAUCGACAUCUUGAUUCCUGCAUAUCCUCCUUUUUACCUUUGUUAACAUCCCAUAUGAUGCAAGAAUUGUCAACUGAUCCAGAGAUGAGAAAUGCACCAUCGCUUGACCAUUGCAAGUCCAGAACAUCUUUACGGUGAAAUCUUGCCAAGAAGAAACCCAGUCAUGAGCACAGAACUCACCCCUAACAAAAUUAGACCCUAAAAAGGCUUCUAAGUGGAAAAUUUACAUCAAUAUAAGCUAUCUAAUAGGUGAAGGAAAAGACAAACCCCUCAGGUUGAAUCCAAAUUUAGAGGGAAUUAGCUUAGACCUCUGGUCCCUACCAGCUUUGCAAUUGCCUUUUAUAGGUAUGCUUUUAUGUUGAUAUAGUCUAUUUCGUCACAUUGCAUUUUCUUGUUCUUUUUCAGAGUAUAAUCAAUUUGAUAGAAUCAUCUCUGAACCACAACAAUUCACUAAGAUUCAACCUAACACUUACUAAUUAAAUGAUAAAAAAGAAUGGUUUUAAUCAAGGGAACUUUCAUCCUACUAAGAUUUCACACAAGCACCAAAAUGAAAAAUCAGUUUGUAAGAAAUGGCUAUCUCGUAGAAGCUCUGCAAUGCAUUCAGACUAAGGGCCUUACGACAAACUCUUGAAAACUUUCCAACUUUGACCAGUUUCUGUAGUGUGCAAUUUCCAUAUGAUCAGCUCACCUCCUGUCACAUAGAAAACCCUUUCUUCAGAAUCUUCUGCCACUGCCGUACUUUUUCACUAAAGAACUUUAAAAACAGACUUAUCAUAUGAUGGAAAAGCAAAGAGAUAUCAGCGAUAAAGCCAUACCAUCAGCACCAGAGGCAAGUUGUUCUCCUGCACAAUACAAAAAGAGCAAAGAUUAUCUCAGCCAUCAAAUAGAAUUACAAUUUUAGAUAGCAUAAAAAAAUUAUCUUAGAUAAACAAACAGCUACAAAGCAUAAAUUUAUGAAAACUGGGAACAGCAUUUAUUUUAAAAGUUACAAACAGAGUGCAGCCACAAGAAGACAUUUGAAAAUUGAACUCGAGCUCAAUUCGACCGUUAAUAAACAAGAACAAUUUAAUUAACAGCAGACUUUGAGAAAAGAUGAAGAUUUUGAAAUUCGGAGUGUUACACUAAUAGUUCUUACAUUCGAUAUGAAUACACAACUCAAGUGAUUUAUAUGCAAUCCACCUAAACACGUAUAAUCAUUGGAAUUUCUAUUUAUGAUAAAGUUAUCAGCUCAAAGGAAGGGUUUUAGCGUUUUACCAGAUGGUGAGAAGCGAAGGGCAUUAACUGCGGAGCCAUGGUAAGAGAGACUAUUUUGAUAUGAAGCAGUUGGGAUUUUCUUCUGCACUUCGUCUGAAUUAAUAAACCAUAGCUGAAAAGUUCAAUAAAGAGAAAAACAGUAAUCUAAUUAGCCUGGCUUGACUCUCGAUUACCAAAGUUAAUUUUAUUUUAAACCGCAAUCCCUUGCCUAAGUUAUGGAUUAACACAGCAUUUUGAUUUAGCAAAAUAGCAAAGUUCCAGAUUGUACAGAAAAUUUUAAAAAAUUUAAGAAAUAAAAGCGAUUUUAAAUCAAAAAAUAAAAGAAAUGGAACGAAUGGAUCUAUUAAAAUGAAAUAAGAAAUAAAUAAAUGUUAAAAUAAAAAAAGAGGCUCCAUUUAAAAGGAACAAAAAAAAACCUUGAUGUCAAAAUCAGCGCCGCCGGUGGCCAGAAGACCGGAGAUGGGGUGGAAAUCUAGGGUCAGAACGGGUUUGGUGUCGUGCCAAUUUAUCUGAACCGUGCCCCCUUUCAUUUUUUUAGCUUUUGUUUUCCUAGGGUUAGGUUGGGAGAGUGGAGAGUAAAGAAGAAGAAGAGGGGAUGUACUGGCGCCCUGCUUUGAUUUGGCGGGAAAUGUCAGACCCUCUUUUCUCUUUUUCAUUGAAACCACCGUAUUAGAUUUUUGUUUUUUUUUUUUCCAUGGAGCAGCUUGAGUCGAGCCUGCUCUUUUCAAAUCUAAGCCCAAGCCUGUCUAGGCCCAAGCCACAUACAUAUUAUUUUAUUACUAUUAUUAAAAUAAAUAAAAAGGUUUUAUAUUUACAAUUUAAUCUUUUUAAAUAUUUAAAUAUGUAAAAUAUAAUUAAAUUAAACAUACAUUAUAUUAUUUAUAUCAAAACAAUAACUUCAAGUUCAAACUUAAAAUCUUAAUCAAAAUUAAAUUCAACAUGGACAAAAGUUUUUAAGAAAUUAAAACUUUUAACAUUUAUAGAUAGCAAAAUGCAUAAUUUAAUUUUUGCAUGGAUUAGUUAUGUUUGAUAUGCUAUUAUUCUUGAUGUUCACUCAAUAUUAACCAAUUAUAAUAAUUAUGUUUUCUAUUUGUUGUACUUUACACAGCAAUCUAAUAUUUAUAUAAAUUAAACUAGUAAAAUGUACAUAACAAUAGGUAACAACCAAACACUUAUUAUUAAGAGAUACCUUAUUCCAAAAGUUAAUUAGAAUUUUAAAUUUUGAAAUUGAAAAAUUUUAGAUUCAAAUAUUAGGAAGAUAGUGUAGCGACCAAAUAAAGAUUGAUAAUAUCAUAAAUAAAUGGUCAAAAUAUCUGCAAAGUCUUUAUAUUAGGGUAUUUUUUUCAAGUUAGUUAUUCUACUCAAAAUCGUAACAUUUUAGUCUCUGAUUUUUAAGAAUUAUUUCAAUUUAGUCAAAAUAUCACUUAUCAUUUUAUAUCCACAUGACACUGACAUAACGUUAAUGUAGAUAGUGAAAAAUAUUAUAUGAUCAUGUUAUCAUGUCAAAUUAACAUGUCACGUUAUCAUUAAUUAUAACAUGUCAGCAUGUCAUAUCAUUAUAAUUAUGAUAUAUUAGUAUAUCACAUAAACGUCACGUGAUGUAAAACGAUAAAUGACAUUUUGAUUAAAUCAAUUAUUAAUUAUGAAGACUUAUUUGACUCAAAAUAAAAAUACAAGUAUUUCAUUGAAUACAAUAAAAAUAUAAAAGCCUACUUGAACUUUCUUAAAUAAUUUAGAGAUUUUUUUUAGAUAUUGUACCUAAUGGAAAAAACACUCUUUCAUUUUUAAAUUUCAUUUUAUUGAUAUCAGAUUCAAAUUUAAAAUCUCCAAGUUAGAGUCUCAAAAUCUAAUAAUUAAGAUGAAUUCUCAUUCUUAACCACUACAAUUAAGUGGAUAUAUAACAUAAUUUAAUUUGUUGAAUUAUUACUGUUGAAAUAUCAUCAUGAGGAGAAAUAGAUUCCAGAUUGUAAUUAGUAAAAAUCAGCUCUAUAUAAUCCUCCUGCUAAUAAAAUGAUAUCAAAGUUAUAACAGUAACAAUCAAUCAAUCAAUCUAUGGCCUUUAUUAGCAAGCUGAAACCACCUAAUUCCAUCUCAAAUUUUGUACAACAACCAGACCUCCUCACGUUCGUGUUGGAAGUUGGAAGCAUAGCAAAAGUCAAAGCUGAACUGAAGAUAUUCAUUUAUCUAGUCAAGCAAAUUUGACAAAACAAAGGGGAAGUAGUCUAAUUAAUUAAAGAUUUGAAGACAGAUAUAUAUAUAUAUAUGUCCUCAUCAUCUUUUUUGCGCACUAAAUUCAGCCCAAUAGCAGGCAUCCUUUGUCUAAUUAUUAGCUAUAGACAUUAUAGAUAAGACAUAUAGCCUUUUGACCUGAAAUGCAAUAAUAAUAUUGAAAUUGCCUCCAGCAAGUCAUCAAUGGCAACCAAAACACAAUGAAUUAAACAAAGGAAAGUUCAUUUGCAUUGAAAAGUUGAGACACACAAAAAGGGAUUAGAAACCAAGAUGAUCAAUAAUGCCUAAUACCACAUCACAAAUAUGCUUCAAACCCUCUUCUAUACGUACAAUCUCUCGCGGAUAAACCAGCCCCGGAUACCUUCUAAAUGCGUUAUGGCAAGCGUUUGGAUACUCCGCGGCUGCCAUGACAUGCAUGUACGCGUAAUCAUACGACUCCGAUUCAAAAUCUCGGACGGAAGCUUGAAGAGCAUCGCCGGCGUGAGCAUACUUGUCGGAGCAUUCUUUCAAUACUUUCUUAAGGAUUGUGUCAUUUGUGGUACUGAGCAAUUGGGAUGAUAAGAAGGUUGAUGUGGCCGUGGCAUUAGCCAUUCCAACUCCAACCAGGAUCGUUGCCAGGCCCUUUGUGUCCGAAUUCAAGCUAGUGGGAUCGGACUUGAGGGAGGAGACACAAAGGUCAUAGUACUUGGUUGUUUUGCAAGUCUUUCGGAUUAAAUCAGCAUCUCCAUUGACUGAUAUUGUUAAUGCUAGGGAGACAAGAAUGGAAAUGAAAAAGGAAGAGCCCAUUUUUGACAGGGUGAGGAUAAAAUUUUCUUGUGGGGGGGAAGCGAGGAAGGACGAGAGAGUGAAAUUUAGUGAAGUGAGAGGAAGCUAAGAGGAGAUUAUAUUAUAUUAUAGGAUGGUUAAUAAUUUUUUCUAUCAAGGGCUAUCAUUAUGGGUUUCUUUUUGACUGAGGGUGCUAUAUGGUCACAAAAUAAUCGUACGGAAUGAGUUGUUUUUAAUUUAUUGCGUGAUUGAAUGUAAAGGGGUAAGGCUUUAUCGGCAGGCGGGCAUGUUGGUCAGAUGGCUCUCUUUAGCAGCAGGCCAACUGCCAAAAAUUGGGUUCACGGGGAACAUGUUGUUAACAGCCUCGUAGAUCCUCUCAAUUUCCAAUGUAAUUUUGAGUUCUGCACUUCGACAAUAUCUUGUGAAAUUGGAAGACACGCCACCCGGAACCCGGACCCAUCAAUAAUUGCACCCUGUGAUUGUGAGGAUUUUUCAUUUCAUCUUCAAGUUAGAGGCUGCUCCACGUUACUCUUAUGGACCUUUUAAGAUUUAACAAAGGUUAAGCGCAGUGACUGACAUCAAGGAUGUAACAUGUAAAUGUUAGAUCCUUCCAACCCAAAUGAAUGGAUAACAAUUCAUGUGAUCUCUUGUGCUUAAUGCAUCCACCUUUAUUGUACAUUUCAAAUUUUAUAUCGUUGAAAAAGACAGAUUGUUGAAGAAUAACGGUGGCUCCGCUCCUCUUCUCCGUUCCAACUUACAAAAUCAUGCAAUCAAAUUCACAUCACCAGCGAAGCAAGCACAAGUCAUAUACUGGAAAUUAACUCCAUUUACUAUGAAAAUUUUGCAACUUGGAUAGUUCAGAAGCUACUCAACAGCUUUAAAUCCUACAAAUCUAGAACUAGCAGUGAAAUUGAACAGGAUUUUUUGGUCACUGUUACGGAUCCUCAUCUCUCUUCUUUCUUGACAAGAGAUGGUAUGCUACAAAUAAAAAUUCAAAAAAUUAACUCAUAUAAAAGAAUUUGCUGGUUCUAAAAUGCAAUCCUGCUUGUGUUUCCUGUUCUCAUAGAUGAACCGGAGGAACUCUGUAAUAAGCUGGUAUGGUUACAGGGAAGAACACCUGUCUAACUCCUUCAGCCUUGAGUAUAGGGAAAAUGAUGCUUGAUGCUCCCUGAAUCAUGUGAAAGAUCAAUAAUUCCUGUUAGAUUACCUUGAAUAGUUCACAAUGUAGAAGAUAAUAGACCAAGCAAUGAAGAUACAAACCGAAAUUAAUCUAGCACCAAGUAGAAGGCGUUUGAACGAAGGAAAUGGAAGCAGUAAGCGCCCAACGCCAUAUAUAGCCACAGCGAAGAAGUGUAGGAUCAGGUUCAAUGGCCGAGGAUUCAUGCCAGAGAGUAAAGCUAUUGGUCCAUUUGAAAAAACACCGCCAAGGCUUAAAUAAUCGAAGCAUGCUUUGCGCAUUUCUCUCCUUGCUGGGUCGGAUGAUCCGCUAAACACCUUAUAGAGGGCACCGGCUAAUGUAUUUAUGGUAGAUGCUGUUGGCUGAAAUAUAAAGUCCACACAUUGUUUGAUUCCAUAAUUAUCAGUUGUAUAAUACUAAAUUUUGCUGCUACUUAGCUUUGGCACUUUAUUUCCUCAUGUAAGAUAGAGUGCAGAAAUAUGUGUAAGAUACAUAGUUAUGUUUUGCUUACCUUACGUAGAGUGUAGAAGGAUUCCAGAUAUUUGCACAAGGCAGAUGCAUCAUUUAGAUCGCGGAGAGGUCUAAGGAGGUCUCUUAAGACAACGAUAUCAGAGAGUGCCACAGUCAUUCCUCCACCGGUCAAAGGAUGCCUCAUGUUAAAUGCAUCUCCCAUCAACAGUGCACCCGGAGUUGGAUAGGGAGCAGCAGGCAUGCUUCUGUUAGGCAUCGUUCUUAUGUUUCUCUUAUCGAUUGCAGAUAUGAAAGCAUUGUAUAGCUCAGGGGGGAUCUGUGCAUGCAAACCAGUGUUCUUUUUAUUAGUCUCCAACUGAAAAUUAGAUGGAAAAGCUAAUGUAGAAAGAUAAAUUGAAAACUCAAAUCAACACUAUUAAACUCAAGUAUUUGGUUUUCAUCAGGUCAUUGCCACAAUCAUCAACAGAUAAUCAAAAUGAUAUAGCACAUAUAGAUUUUUCUUCUUUUUUCUUUUUUUUUUUGAAUUUCAUAUGGUACACUUGAUCAAAAAAAGGCAAAGGCAAGAGACUAAAGCAACCAUGCUUGUUAAAUUGUUAACUAGCAAAAUGGUAGAGCAAGAAGACAUAUAUACCUGAGGAGCCACCUCAGUUUUCAAGAAAUGGGACAUUUCGCCAUUAGAGACUGAGGGAACAUUUUGUCCAGGUACAUCAACCAGACAACGAACCUCUGUGCUACUAAUAGGAUAAAACAGGAUGGGAGAAGGAUCUGCCAAAAUAACGUGUCCGUGAUUUGCAUACGGAAGCUUACAGUUCUCCAGGACCAUAGCAACAAAACAAGAAGGGAUGUCAACCUGCAGAAAUACUUGCUAUAUAAAUACAAACACUACAGAAUAUUGUACAAUCUAGGGAGAUGGAACACUUGUAUGGAACAAUGGAAGACAAUAUCUCGAAGAAAUCUGUCACAUUUAUGAUCCUAUAUUUCAGAAAAAAGAGUGUGACAUAUAUAACAGUUUAUUCAAAUAAUUGAAUAAAAAUUAUUUACAUAUCCUUUUCACCUUUGGAUUGCAGAGAGAGCGCCUCAAAUUUGAGAAGCAUCCAUCACAUACAAUUGUAAGGGGAGCUUUAGCGAUCAGCUGUUGACCAUUCUUGGUUUUGUACUGCACCCAUUUAACAGUUCCCUUCUCAGUAAUUAGAGAUGUGACAGUUCCUUGUUCUAGUUUCACACUGUAAAGACAAAUUUGAUCGACAAUGAAAAUAAGUAAGGAAUUGGUAUUAUAUAUCACUUCUAACUUGGCUAAAUUUUAGGAGAUCAGAGAUGAUACUUGGGAAGGGUUGAUGCUUUUUCUCUCAUUCUUUGAAUGAAACGUCCAUUAUGGAAGCUUCUCCCUGCAACAUCUGAUUCGAAAUGUUGCAAGGGAUAUGAUAGUUUGGUGCUUUUCCCAUCCUUAAACAGAGCAUAUCCAAACACGCGCUGAGCAUCAAUCUCAUUCACACAAUCUGCAACCACAUACAUAUAGCUCACAUCACAUGUUACUAUAAUCAUAGUGCCUAUUUCUAUGAUUGAUUACUGCUAUACCUUUUGCUAUUUAUAUAAACAAAAAUAAGAGUGCAUAACAAAUUUCCUUAACAAUAUAUGCAAUUUCAUCAAUUUCGUACAAGAUAAUCCCUUUGUGCUUACCCUCAAGCCCCAACUCCAUCAAUUUCAGGUAACCUCCAGGUUGUAGAAGUUCUCCAACAAUUCUAUCAGGUUCAGUCAAGUCUCUCUCAAUCACUUUCACUUGGCGUCCAUCCUUCAGCAUACAGUAGAAAACAUGUUCAUCAGAAUUCUUAAGUGAAGAGCAACAAAAAUGCUUUUAAGAACAUUUGGGAACUCUUCCAAUGCGAGAUAAAGAAAGGAAAGAGAACGGCACAGAUUGUUAGAGAGGCAGAGACUUGUCACCUUCCCAAGAGUGUAAGCAAGAGCAGAACCAGCAACCCCUGCCCCAACAAUGAUUAUAUCUGCACUCCUACCUAUCUCUGAGUCACGGGGUAAUCCAUUAUCAGAGCUCAUUGAAAAUGUCUCCUUCUGAAUUUUCUUUGAAGAAAAAACGGUCUGCUUCUGAAUUUUCUUGUAUAGCAAAACAAGACCCAAAACAGAAGCCAGAAUUGCUCCCAGUAGAUAUUGGCAAACCAUCUUCUCGAGAACUGAAUUGUUUUUAUGCUUAGUGUGUGUUUGAGUUGCAUGUUUCCAGCAACUGAACUUUGAGGCUUUUAUAGGCUUGCAAAGGCCACAUUGGGAACGCAAAAGCUACUUGGUCCAUGCUAGUGUUUGCUUAAGAAGUUGUGCUACUAGUCAAAGUAGAGCAGUAGUAACGUAAAAUAAUAACAAAUUUUGAAAAAAAUAUACUGUAAAGAUGAUUUAUUAGUCAGAGAUUUUCUCUGAAAUAACAGUUCUAAGAAGAGCGGAAUUGAUCAAGUAAAAGUUUGAGGACGCGAGCAAUGGUCAAAGUUAUGAGAUGCCCCCUAAUGUUAAAAAUGUUUUCAGGGUUUCAGUCAUGGAAGCCACCAAACAGGAAAUGACAAACACAGAAAUAAAUUGGAAAAACACUUCACUUCCCCCCAUUAAGUUGCAGACAAACUAUAGAAUAAAGAAUUUUAGAAAAGAAAAGGCCGGGUAUACUAGGGCGUAGGUCAAGUAAUCAGUCAGAAUUUAGGAGCAAUAUUUUGUCAAAUCCUCUGGUGGGGGCAGUAACAGCGGUAUUUAGUAAUGUCUUCGUGGUAAAGCCAUGGGCUUGCAGUCUCACCUUCUUUAGUCAAUGUUUUAAAUAACCUAAACUCAAACAAUUAAUGCCUUAUUAUCUUCUGCUGAAUCAAUUUUCAGCCUCAUUCUCUUGCUCAGACUCUGCCCACAACAUGAUGAUGGGCUAGAAGCAUGGUUAUAUGCAUGAAUGUCUGUGAGAAGAUUUAAUCUUAAGAAAACUACUGCCUAUAUUCUUCAAGUACCGACCUCAUUAUCUGCAUCAAAUGAAAAUAUUACUAGCAAAGGCAUGAAGAGGUUUAAAACUAAUGAUAAAACCCAAAUUGCAUAGCAAAGGAUAAGGAUUAACUUCUUAUGUAUCUGGAACAUUAUCGUGCAAUUGUUUAAUGAGUUCAAAGUUUUUCUUUUUUCAAACAAGAAAAUGAUCAUAUAUUAAGAUAUGAUUGUAAGUUAAGAUAUCGUCAAUGUAACACAUAAUUAUUUCAUAUAAAAUUCACUCAAAUAUCAAUACUAUGAUCAUAAAUGACAUCACAAAUUAUGCUUAAGUUUUAUUAAUUAAUGCUAAUUAAUAAAAAAUAUUAACCAUAUAAUUCAUAAAAUCUAUAAUUUUUUUACUACAAAUUUAUAUUUGCCAGUUUUCAUUAAUUGUUAUUAAUUUUCAUAAAUAAAUUAGGUGCUAACGAUUAUAAGGGGUUGACGCUUUUUUUCCCAUAAAAAACAAACAGAUGGGAGAUUCGGUAGGCAUUACAAUCUUUUAAUAAUUAAGUAAUUAAAAUAAAAAAUUUUAAAAAUAAAGUGACAAAAAGAUUCACGUUACCACACUCGCACGGCUGAAGUUAUUUUUCACUUUUGCCCUUUAACUGUUUGAAAUUUGAAGUAACAUCUUACCAAAAAUAUAAUUUUAAAAAUUUAUACAAAAGUAUAAUAUUUAAAUUUAAAAAAAAUAAUAAUUACUUCAAGUUAAAAAUAGUUGUAUUCCAUAAUAUAACCAUACAUCAAAAAAUGUAAUGACGCACAUUUGAAAGAGAAUUACAAAAACAUUUGAAAAUUAAGAGAGGGAUAAUUUUGUCAGAAUUCAAAAUAGAAUGGGUAUUCAAUUCUUUCCUCCCAAAAUGUACUGAUCGCAGUUGGUUCGAUUUUUGGAACCGAAAGGAGUUUUGGGUGUCAAAUGCAAUGCCACACGACCCAAAAAAUCCCAAAUAGCUAAGUAAUGAAAGGUUGCGGCCAAUAAUCAGAGAUUGGAAUAAGCAAAUGCUUUUUGGAAGUAACAGUGUCUUUACUAGCAAACUACUGAGAUGAGUGCACGUCGAGAGCUAUUCAGCAGAACAGAGACACCCCACAGUCAGAUUAAAAACUAUGAUGGUAAAUGACUAUUUUCAUUUUAUAGUCCCAUUUUCAUCCAUGGGCUAAUGCUAUUGCCUUCUCAAAUGAUCUGUGAAUACAUCUUUUUCCUAUCUUCAACAAUCAUUCCCUGCAAAAUCUCUCUACAACUUUAAUGUUGCUUGUACUUGCCAUCUUAUGACUGUAUCCAAAACUACAUAAAACAAGCACAAAUUGAAUGCUGCAAUGUCUUUAAUAGAUGGGACUCUGAAGCAUUGAUUCAUACAUGUAUUGGAUUCACAAAACCAAAACAUGAUAUGAGCAUAUAUCAGUCAAAGACCACCACACAACUGGUGGCACGUUUAAACUGAAACUCCAUAAAGCAAUCAUAAAACCAUAAGCCAAUAACCAAUGCGAAACAAAUAGGGGACAUAUUCCAAAAGGUAGUCAUCACAACUUUCAUUCUCAAAUUAAACACUUACAUAGAACAAUGGUAAACCAAGCAGCAGCAGCAGCACAACUGAAAAUUUAUUCCUAAUAACACAAUAACUCAUCAAGACCGUUAAAAUGCAGACUAGUUGUUAUAUGUAAAGGGUAUAUAUUUUGUGGCAACUUAUUCAAAGGGAUACAACACACUGUUCAAAUUGUUGUCUUCUGUGAAGGAUGCCAACAUGGACAAAAUAUCAUCAUCAUCAGAAACUUGAGGAGCCUCAAAGAAAGAAUCAUUAGCAGUACCAAUCACUUGACCAUUGUCAUAAAUGAUGAAUGCAUCAUCUUCUCUGAAGAAAUCCAACAUUGAUAAAAUGUCAUCAUUUGAUUCUUGAACUUGAGGAACUUGAGCAAGUUGAGGAGCCUCCGUUGAUGCAGGAACAGCCUUAUCAACAACCACUGGAACUUGAGGAGCAUCCACAACUGUAGGGGCAGCAUUAGCAUUACUAUCAAUAUCAGUGGUAACACUAGCAGCAGCAUUAGUAAGAACCACUCGAGGUAGAGUAUACAACCCACUUGAUGCAACAGAUGCUCCAGCACAAAGGCUUUCAGGGACACACGAGCUACUAGCACCACCAACGGCUAGCGUAGACAUGCCAGAAAGAGAGCCAGUGCCGACCAAAUUUACGUCCUCAUCAUCACUCCAAUCUUCCUCCUUAAAUGGUGCUCCAUAUUGGGCACCGUUUCUUGGGCCCAGACCAUCCUUCUUGAAAACAACACAAAGCACAUAUGUAUCCUGAACAACCCCUCUGUCGGCCAAUUCUUUUUCUUCAAGUCGAUAUUCAUGCAUUACCCAAUCUGUUCGGUCCCCACGUGGAGCUUUACCUUGGUGAAAAACUAGAGUUUUUAUCAUCCCCACAACUGCAUCAUUGUAUGUAACAGUUCUAUCCUUUCCAGUGGUUUUCCAAUAACCAUACAUGGUAGCCCGAUUAAAUUUAACCCCUCGGGCGUAUUUCUUCUCAAUGGGACAAAAGAAGAACCAUUUUAGAUCUCCUGUCUUUAAACACGAGAAAUCUGGUAGAUCCCAAGGCGCAUAUUUGUAUAUAUCGAGCUCAGCAAUUGCUUCGAAAGCAAGCUUCUUGCCCAAUACUUUCCUCUUCAAAUAAUAUUUAACAAGUUCAACAUCAGUAGGGUGAAAUCUAAACCCCGGAGCCAACCAGUUUUUACCCAUCACAAUUUUGAAGUCUCAAUGCCCAAUAAUAAACAACUUAAAUUCACGAGCAAGUGAAUAUGGAAGUUGUGAUUCUGCUUAGACUAAAGCAGCGGAACCAAAACAAAGAAUCCAAAAAAAGAAAAAGGAUCAAAAAAUACUUGACGCGUAGAAAACGGGCCAAGUCCAAUGCCUAAAGGAGAUCUUUUGAGAACAAUACCAGAGUCUCCCACGGCUCAUAAACCCAAAAUCACAGCAAAGAAACGACGGCGGCUGAACGCAACUGAGGUCAAAAGUCAUUUGGCGUACAGAUUGAACCCUGAUUUCAACAUAUUAAGGUUCUCGUAUCAUUACAACUAAUCAAACAACACAUCAUUUCAUUCAAGUAAAAAAAAAACCCUAAAUCGCAAAAAUCAAAGAAGACAAAAAAAAAAAAAAAAGAGAAAGAGUCACAGCUCAAAUGGACGACCUCUGAUCAACUGGUAUAUGUAACAUACAAGAAUUACAACUACAUAGAAAAAGAGAAAGAGAAACCAAAGAAACGUACCCGAAGAGAAGAGAGCCGCGAGUGAGGAAGCGAUAGAGAGAGGGCGAGCGCGAGGGAGACCGAGUGAGUUAGACAAGAGCUGAAACCAACGAAGAGUAGAGAGCAAGCUAAGUUGUGCGCUCGUUUUAUAACGGCACUCUUUUACUACCAAAGUGCCUUUUUUUCCUUCUUUUUUUUUUAAUAAGGAAGGAAAUUCCUCCCCUGACCUAUGUUUUAUGGUCUGAAACACCCUACUAUUUACUACCAAAAAGGAAAUACCCUCACUAAUAAAUCCUUUGCUUCCAUUUUUAAAUUUUUGGCACAACUAUAACAUUUGGAUUCUUUCUACCAUGCUUUUUUUCUAAAAAAAAAAGUACAAAAAUUAAUUUUAAAAUUCAUUUUCUUCUAUUUAAAUGGUUAGACUACAUGACAAUAUAUAAAAAUGGUUAUAUAUUUCUAAUUUAUGCCAUUAAUUUCAUUACUAUAAUAUAUGACUAAACUAAUCAAUUGAUAGAACUACGGAGAAAAUCCAUAAAUUUUCGUACCUUUUCUUGGUGUUAUCUUAUUUGAAAGGUUUGAAGAACAAAAAUGAUUAAAAAAACAAUAGCCUCAAGAAAAUGUAUGAAGUACAAAAACCAAGAGGACUCCUGGGAGAUUAAAAGUAGUCAUCACAACUCAAAAAACAUUAAUAAAAAAUUAUUUUAAAGAGAUAUUAAUUUGAAGAAAGCAUUGACUCUACAAAAUAUGUUUAUUUUUGAAACCUAACUUAAGAAUUUUGGUAUUUAACAUUUGUUAAUUGCGGAAUAUGAUUUAUAAUUAUGUACAAAUAAAUUAAUGUAGGAUCAAAUAUUAUCAUUAACAAAUGCAAGUUGGCACAUAAUAUAACAUAAAACUACAUAAUAAUUAGUCUAAAGAGGCAUAAAAAGAGUAAAAAUUAAAUCAUUAAAAAGAUAUAUUUGUAAAAAAGUUGAUAUGAAAAAUAUUCAAAUGAGAGGUGCAUCUAUCUAUCAUGAUAAAAAAAAUUAGUUUAGAUAAAUAAAAUUAAGGUAUCAUAUUUUAAAAAUUAAGAUUACAACAGUUUCGAUAAAAGUUUCAACUUAAAAAAAAAAAUGUUUUUAGUCCUUGAAAGCUAAUUUCGAUCGUUUGUUCUCUAAAAUUUGCAAGCUGCUCUAAAAGUUGAGCCAGAAAGGACACUUAUAAUUUAAAUAGUUUAUUGUUUUUUAUAAUGAAUAAGAGUACGUACAUGAUGCUCGCAGGGCCAGCUUUGAGUAAAGCCACCCAUACAAGGGCUUUAGCCCCAAUCCGGGGAGGUUUUAAUUUUAAAAAAAAUUAUAAUUUUAUAAUAAUUAUAAUAUAAUUAAUUAUAUUAAAUAUAUAUAAAAAUUAAAAAAUUAAAAAAUAAUUAAUAAUUAAUAAAAUUAUUUAUUUUAUUAUUUUUUAAUUAUAUAUCUAAUAAAUUUUAAUAUUUUAUUACUUUUUUAUUUUUGAAAUGUUAUUAAUUUUUAAUUAUAUUAUCUUAUUUUCAAUAAAUUAAUAAUCAUAUGUAUUUAAUCAUCUCCAACAGUUUUUUUUUUCACUUAUUUCUCUUAUUUCCAAUCAAUUAACAGUCAUAUGUAUUUAAUCUCCAACAGUUAUUUUUUUCUAUAUAUAAAACCAAUUAUUUUUUUUUCAAUAUAUAAUAUCUACUUUUGAAAUCUUUCUUUCUCAUUUACACUUUCUUUCUUUAACUUCAAUUUUUCUCCAAAGAAUACACAAAAAGUCUGUUCUUUUAUUAUCUUCAUAAAGCUGUAAGUCUCAUUUAUGAUUUGUAAUAAGUAUUCAAUAAUUUGGUACUAUUGUUCUAAUCUUUGCACAUUUUUUUAUUUAAUUUAGAGUUUAUAUUAUAUUAUUAUAUUGCUUUUAUUUAUGUGAUAGUUGAUUUAUUUGAAUUAAAAUUUUGAUUGUUGAUUUUAUAUUAACAAUUUAAAAAAUAUAAAAAAUUAUAUAGUUAAAUAUUUUUUACCUCAUGUCAAAUCAAAAAUAUGAAUAUGGUUUUUCAAGUAAUUUUUUCACUUCAAAGUAGAUUUGAAUAAUUUAAGAUAUAUGAAAAUAUUUUUAAUUUUUUAUUUAGCGGUAAAAAGUUAAAGUCAUUAGAUGAUAAUAGUUUGAAAAAAUAUUGCCUUAAUCUUGAAUAUUCCUUAAAAUAUAACAACUAUUCUGAUAUUGAUGGUUUAAAUUUAUUUUCAGAAUUAAAAAUUUAAAAAAAAAAUUAUAUAGGAAGAAAACAGUCCAAUUGACGUACUUAAUCAUAUAAAAAUACUCGAUUCUUUUCUAAAUACAUAUAUUGCUUUUAAAAUAAUGUUAACAAUUCCAAUAAGUGUUGCUUCGGGAGAAAUAAGUUUUUCAAAACUAAAAUUAAUAAAAUCUUAUUUAAGAUUAACAAUGUCUCAAGAAAAAUUAAAUAAAUUGGCUAUAUUAUCAAUUGAAAAAGAAAUAUUAGAAGAAUUUGAUUAUAAAAGUUUAAUUAAAAAUUUUGCAUCUCAAAAAGCUAGGAGAAUAAAAUUUUAAAUUUUAAUAAAAAAAAAAGCCUCAUUUGAAUAUUUCACUUUAGGCCUUUGAACUUAUUGGACCGUCCUUGGAUGUUAACUCUAAGCUUCUUGUAAACCUUGACGUUUCUACUUUUGGUCAGCUUCGAGAGACAAUGGGAACCAGUUACAAUACCAAGGCAAAGAAUGGAGCAGUGUUUGCACUACAAUGAGUUAGGUGGUGUCAGUGAUGGUAGAAUAGGAAUCGAGCAACAGAACUUUGUUAGAUUUUGCAAGACUUGUCCUCAUAUGCAUGUCCAAUAAAGCAGAAGAUGGGCUAACAGUGAUUGAGGUGGGAAGAGAACUCAAAAGAAUUGAUAUGUUAUUCUCAUCACCUUCUUAGCCUGGACCUGGAACUCUCAGUUCAAUCCCACAGUUGCACGCAUUUUUCCUUUGGAAGCCAUGUCCUUUAUGUUACUUUCAGGUGCAAUAUUGCCAUUGAUUGUUGCUAAUAGUUUCAUUUUCUUUUCCUUUUGUUUCUUGUUUUUGCUAACAGGACAUUCUUUGUAAUAAAGUGGUACUAGUAUAGGAAAAAACAUUUGUCUAACCCCUUCAGACUUGAGCAUGGGGAAAAUGAUAGUUGAUAUAACCCAAGCAUGUCCUACUUCUUCUUAGGUUUUGGUAGCUAUACUUGCCAUAUAUAUUUGCUUUGACAGUUAAAAUUCUCCUUCUAUACUGCAAAUUUACUCCAAGUAUUCCACGUAAUCUGAAGAAAUUUAAAAAUUAUGGAAGUUGACUUUCCUACCACUCUGUUCAGUAUGUGCUACUGAAGUAUUAGAAACACUAUUAACAUCUUUGUGUGUUGACAUUGGGGAAGAAGAAGCACAAGAAUUAAUCGGAGUAACUCUAGCAUCAUCAAUAACAAUUCCAACAUCUAGAACAACCUCAAUAAUAGAAAUAGCUUCAUUGUCAAGAACAACUUCAUCUUGAGUAACUUGAGGAACAACCUCAUCUUAAGUAGCCUAUAGAGUAAGAAUAAUCUUAGUUUCAAAAAAAAAAAAAUGAAACAACAUCAAUUGAAGAAACAUUUUAAUAUUGUUCCUACUUGAUUUAUAUUGGAACUUUGAAUGUGAGAAGGGAACAGAGCAUCCAAAUCAAUGGAAUCAUCAAAGGGGUCUGUCAAUACAUUUGACAUUCUAAAAGGAGUAACAACACCCUCAAAAUCAGCUUCAACAACACCAAUAGACUCAUCAUUUGUUUCAUCAUUAUGUUCAGAGUCACAUGAUUCUUCCUCAAUCUCAAUUUCAAAAGUCUCUUCCUUUUUGACCAAGUUAAGUUCUACUCUAGCAGUUGUUUCUCUCUACAAAAAAAAAAAUAUAAUGAGGAAGUGAAUUUAAGAGAAAAAUAAUGAAGUAGAAGAAGAAAUAAAGGAUGAACUUAUUUUUCGAUGCACAUGUUUUGUUUACUGAGUAAGAGCGUGAAGAGCAUCAUUUUUUUCUUCAUUUACAUUUUUUUUUUAGAGAAAUCAAGUGUAAGGAUACAUUAGUGUUACUCAUAGAAAGAGUGUAGAGACAAGCUUUGGGAUUAGUCAAAAGCACAAUGAAAGAUCUCCAUUCUUUAAUACACCCCCUCUAAUAAGCAAACCAUCAAGAAGUGUAGAUACCAACUCUAUCAAAAGUUGGGACAGUACAACUUUUAAGUUUAUCUAAACAGAGUUGAAGUCUUGCCAUGAUAAAUGAAGAAACGCAAGAAGAAAAACUGAUAGAUGAAGAAGAGUUAGGUGGAGUUGAUUGGUCAAACCCAAAUUGACGUGCUACUUUGUAAGGACAAUAGACUUCGACAGAAAGAAAAUUUCUAUCUCCAUUUGAGUUGGAACCUUCAAUCAUAGAUGGCAAUUGAGAAUUGUGAACCCAUAAAAAAAGUUAAUAUCUUGUGAACUCAUUCUUCCAUAUUGUAAAAAGUGACGAUCAUAAUAAAUUUCAUGAUCAUCAAAUUCAUUUAUGGGCUACACAUAAGGUUUGGGAUUAAAUUCUUUUGUCACAUCCAUCACCUCAAGAACAUUACCUUUUGAAAGUAGAUCAUGCCACGCCUAAUCUCUAUAGUUGUUCAUUGAUAAAAGGUUAUUCACAGAAAAAUAUGCAAAAGGAUAUACAUUAGGCACGAGAGCGCGAGUACUAAACUUUUCCCAUAGGCACAUCUAAAUGAAGGAAGCAUCCACAUAAGUCAAAACUUUGUAACGUCCAGUUAGCUUGACAGUUUUGAGUUGGUACAAGUCUAGUUUCUUAUAUAGAGAUAAAUAGAGUGGAGCAAGAGAAAAAAGUUUUCCCUAAACAAUUUUUAUUGUUAAAGGAACAACUGCAGAAGAGAUACCAUCAUUUAGACACUUUGGAAGUAUGUGCCAUGCCAACCAAAAUAUUAUUAAAGCUAUUAGCUCAUGCUUAUGGUUUGGGUACUCAAGAGGGCCAAUCUUAAUUUCCUUAGCAUUGAACUUCUUAUAAAAUAUCCCUAUUCAAUUGGAAAACCGUGCAACCUUUGAAGUUUUACUCAAACUUUUAAGUAGAACAAAGAAAAAGUCUCGAAUACACACUUCUUCUUCAAAAAGCUUGAUAGAGUGAAAAUCAUGCUUCCACAUACAAAGAAGUUCUAAGAGAAUACACACAUUUUUCAAACUGAAAGUAAAUUCCCCAAUACUGUAAUCAUAGUAUAAGAAAAAGUGUUCCACCUUACAACAAUAGCAUGCCAUACAUCCAUCGUUUUCUCUCUACAAAUAUUGAGCUUGGAAGUAACACAUACAGCAUCAAGUAUUCCACCAGAUGAGAGAAGUUUAAUAUAAGUAGGAUUUUUCAACAACUUAUUUACCCACUCAUCCAACCAUAAACAGAUUGAGAAUUAGAGCCUAACUUAAUAGUAGAAAGUGGAAACUCACCAUGCUUAAAUUUGAACUUUAGAAUGUAUAAUCUUGAAAUACCACUUUUUUUAUGAAAAAGUGCUUAUAAGCAUAGAUGAUUCUAAUCAUAUCCAACAGGUUUAGAGGGAUGUUUGUCAAUCCUCCUGACACAAACUUCUUCCCAAAAACUAUUUUCUCCCCUUUCUCUAAUGAUUUUAUCUUCUCGGUUUUAAAGAACAGGAGGAAUUUCAACACUCUUUCCUACUCUAAUUUUCUUAAGAGGAAUUACUUCAAAAUCAUUACUCUUGCUUUUAUGUGCAAUGAUCUUUUUCCUUGUUGCAGCCUUUCUAGGCUCACCACAAUAGAUCUUUGGAAAGAAACGUGUCUUGGGCAUAGAAGAAGAUGAAAAAAGAAACCUACAAACAUGAUCACGAGAAAGGAGAUAAAUAUACAUAUGUAAUAAUUUAUUUAUUUAUUAAAUAUAAAAAAGCAUAACAAUAACAACAACGAAGUAAAACAACAAAACUUAUCAAAUUAUAGAUUUUGAUAUUAUUAUUAUUUUUAAUAAUAUAUAUAUAAUAAAAAAGUUAAAUAUCUAUAAUUUAAAAAAAUAUAUAAAAAAUAAAUAAGUAAAAUUUUAAAAGAAAAUCUACAACUUCAAAUAAAAAUAACAUAAUAAUAACAUAAGUAAAAAAUUAUAAUUACACAAAAAAAAGUCACCGCAUAUAUGCCGCGAGCUCCAAAAGAAAUAACUCGCGACACAUGCCGCGAGCUCCAAAAGAAAUAACUCGCGGCGUCAAAGGAAAUAGCCCGCGGCACGCCUCGAGGUCCAAAAGAAAGUUUCAAAACAAAAUUAUAAAAGGUGGCCAUACAAGCCACAAGCUUCAGCACAAAAGCGAAGUAAAAAAAAAAAAACGCUAAGCCGUGCCUUAAGCCUAAAACAAAAGCACUGUUACUAAAGUCCUCUUUUACACUUUGGCACUAUUUGUAAUUUGUUUCGGAUUUGCUCUAAAACAGAGCCUCAAGAUUUUAAAAGUCCAAUUGUAUAUAAUAAAAAAAGAGAACCUAAGCUUCAACGCUAGAAAAAGCAUCAAUUAAAUAAAAAAAAAAUCAUCACAGCUUCUACGGUGAGCAAACAAAAUAAGAGAAAUACUUGAACGCCCUCUACAACUCUAAUAUUUAUAGGCCAACUUUUGACUUGUCACUCUAGCUUGCCUAGCUAAAUCUCCUUAUCUUUCUAUUCUUUGUGACAUGUUAAAAUAGCUUUCAAUUGAUAGAGAUUACUUUUGUUUAGGAUAUUCAUGAGACAAAAAUAAUUAAAAAAAAUCUUUAAACUGCUCAAUAGAAUUAAGAUUUUUACGUAAGUCAUGAUGUAAAAUUCUACUAUAAUAAUCUAAUUCCAUAGGGAUCUUAAUUAUAUCUAAUAAGUAAAUAAUAUACCUAACUUUGCUUAUCUAAUAAUCAUAUAUAAAGUAAAACAAUUUAUUUGUCUCCUUGAACAUAUGUAUACAUUCAAACAUAAAAAAAAAAAAUCCUUCAAUCAAAAACUCAUGCAUGAAAAAAAAAUUUCUUCUCAUAUUUCAAUUUAAAAAGAAUUUUUUCAUGCAGGAGGCAACAAGCAAAAGAAAUUCAAUUUUUUUGAAAAAUUAUAAAAAUACAAAAAGAUAGAAAAUAAGAAAUUAUAUAUAUAAAAAAUUAAUUUGUUCAAAAAGAUUUACAAAACAACAAACCUUUUGUUUUGAAUUUUAUUUUGCUUUGGAAUCUGAAUGAAGAAAAUUAUUUAUGGUAACUUCAUAUUUAUAAACCACAUAAAUAAGAUUUUUAUGAAAAAUAUUAACUUUCUUUUUACAAUUUGUAUAUUGAGAAUCUUAUUUUAUGAAAAAUAUAUUGUUAUAUGAGCAAUUAAAUAUUACACAAGACAAUAAUAUAUUAUUAUCUGAAACGUUAUUGGCUAAGGUGUUAUUAUCUAAAGGGUGUUGCUACUCGAAGUGUUACUGUAUAAUACAUUAUAAUACAAAAUAAAACUUUUCUCUAAAUUAACGCAUGAGAAUUAUUUUUAAGUAAAAAAAUUCUUAUGUUGAGGGUAAAAUGUAGAUACUUGAUUUUAGUUAAUAUCUAUUCUUCAAAAAAUUAUUUUACAACAUAAUAUUCUAUAGAGAACAACCAAAAUGAGUGAAGCACUACUUCACACAGAACAACUAGAACAAGUGGAGUGUUACUUCACUCAAAACAAUUAAAAUAAGUGUAACGCUACUUCAUAUGGAAUAACUAAUACAAGUAGAACAGUUACUUCGCAUAGAAUAGCUACUGCACAUGGAUAAUAGGAAAAGCAACCCAAAAUGAAUGGCAGGGUUCAUGGGUUAUUUCUAUUUUGAGAUGUUCCGAAAAGUUUGGUUUUAUAAUUCAGAUAUAGAGGUAGUUAAGAGGUCUUUCUCUAAAUCUUUUCCUGAAAUACAAGUGUUUUACCUUCCAACCUUAUUCUUAUAUACCUAUUCACAUAUAUUUUUUUCUCUUGUACCUAUUCAUGUACAUCUUGUACC